UUUUUUUUUUUUUUUGGGGCCGGGGUCAAACUUUCCUACCACACGUACGUAAAUGCAUGGAAAAUUUGCAUGGAAUCGAAAACUUGCACGUACACUGGAAGUCACCAUAGCUGUUGAAUGACAUAUUUUUGGAACUUUAAAAGAAACGAAACCUUUUAAACGGAUUGCCAUUUUGAACGGUUUUAGCAGCAGCACUAACAAGAGACGAGACUCUAGAAUAUCUAAUUAUGAUAGCUAAAAGCGCUUGAUUACAAAAACUCCUUGUAGUCUCCGAUUAAGUAAAUUUUCGUUGAGAUUUUGAAAAUGCUUUUCCCAACUUGGUUUAUAGCUGAACGGUCGAUAAUUCAAAGUAAAACUUGUUUCUCCUCUGGCUGGUUUUGUUUGGAAAGUAAUUUUUCAAAAAAACAAUUACUACAUUUUCCGUGAACAUAUUUUUUUUAAUCACCUUUUUAUCUCACACAUAUCAAAUCGCUACAGUAAUAUUUUUACAAAAAAAAAUUCAAAAAUUGCAAUCCAAACAAACACCCUUUUUUUUUUUUUGAAAAAAAAAGGACGAAACAGCCACUAAUGCAUGUAUUUAAAAAAAGUUCAAAUUUCUGAUUCUGUAGCAGGGCAGGGCGGAAAUUUGGGGCUAACAUGUGUUAGUAAUUAAGUGGAAUGAUGUGACUUAUGUGAAGUUCACUUUAAGACAACCCUAAUCCCCGGGCGCAACAUCCAUUAUCAAAUACUAGACUACUACUACUAGUAGUGUAUUUAUCGACAUCACGCAUCUCCCAAAUCAUGUUAUCCCGAUGUGAUGUUUUCACUAUCUUCGUUUUGUAUUUAUUUAUUUAUUUUUGGCAAGAUCGUUAUCUUCUUUAUGAUAUCGGUUUACAAUAGACUAACAUAUGUUAGUCUUUGUGCAUUGCAAUUUUAUGUUCUUCCUUGAUAGAUCUAUCUUGCUCUGAACAAAAAAUUAAUAGAAGAAUGGUUUAUCGGAAGUUACUUCUGGAUUUGUAAGCUAAUGAAUGUUUGCGAAAUUGAUUAAUUGCUAAAUUCGUAAAAUUAACUCCAGACACUGCAAUGCUAAUCCUGUUCAAGAAAGUGCUUUAGACUUUAUCCCAAAAAUAAAGGGGAAGUGCUAUUAGGGGGUGUGCAUCCCAAUUCGUACAUUUUGAAACGGAAAACCGAUUUUCAUUCCAUUUUCUGAUUUGUCGAUUUCAAAAUUUUGAUUUUAAUUUGAAUUCGAUUGAUAAAUUGAAAAUUUUCGAUUUUGCACCACGCUCCUAAUCAUGAUUUGCAGACAUCCUGUUCCUUCUAAUCACGAUGUGACUUGUGUUCCCAUUUUGUGACUUAACGGGAAGUGCUACGGUCCAGACUUGUAAAAUCGAAACGGUCGUCUUCCUCUGGCAGACGCAAGUCGCAACUUGCAAGAAUAGGUCCAACCUUCGACGGUCCAGUUCUCCAAGUCCAAGAACAGCUCCGGUCGUCUUCCUCCAGUCACAAGAAGUAACAAUUUCUGUCAUUGGAAACUCUACAUUUAUUCUUGUUAAUCAAUUAUUUGUUCCAAGUGUAUACGGGAAAAUAAAGGGUUUAUGGGUUGGAAAAUUUUAUGAAAUGGGUGCGCCUUCAAUAAUAAAAUUUUCAAAAAGAUGAUGCAAAUUUUGCUCCACUCGAGCUUGAGCCUACCUUUUGCUUGGUCGAGCUGAGUUCGAUUCCAUUUUCUUUACUCGUCAAGAUUAAGUUCGAAUUCAAUCCUACACAUAAACAAGUCAAACUAGGAUCGAUAAGACUUGUUUGCGGUCCUACUUUCAAGAAAUUGGCGCAGCCGGUUUGCUGUCUUAGUUUUGUACUUUGUUUAGUCACUUUUGAGUUUCGACUUAAUGUUUCAUCGAGUUACCCACCCUACAAUCGUGCUUUGUCGGGCAACUGGGAAAGCCUGCGCUCUGUCGUUCGUCUAAAUUUCUUCAGUCUUAACUUGUCAUGAAGUUUUUUUCUUAAUUGAUAUUAUACCAAAUUUAAGCCCAACAUAGAAUUCAACUUGUGCUAAUAGUUUUGGGAGUUUUUUGUGCUACAAUUCUGCGAUGCAUUUAAAAUGUCGAGCCUCUCCCAAGAAAUUGAUGUUGUAGCAAUCCACCAGACAAAUUGUAUGUGGUGCGUAAUGAAUUUUGGAACGGAGAUAUAUUGAGAAAGAUGUGAAGAGAGAUAAGGUGGAGAUGCUUGUGAGAGAGCUCGUGGAUGGAGAGAGGGGACAAAAAAGAUGAGGAGUAAGGCUUUGGAUAUACUAUAUUAGAACUAUACAUUAUACAAUGCCAAAGCAGCUGUGGCACGCACUCCAUUGAUCUUCUUCCCAGAACUUUAACAAGCUUUUGAAGGAGAUGACUCUGCAUAAUUCAUCCCGAUGAUGAGGAGGCAAAGGUGGAAAUUCUUUAAUUUUGUUACAAAGUUUCGAGGAAACUGGGGUUUAUUAUAAUUGUUUACACCGGAAUAAAUACAGUAGUUAACUACCAGAAAAACUCCAUUGGUACCUCGAAUUUAGAACGAGUGUAACAGCUUCAUAGCACGAAUGUAGUGUAGAUAAAUCCGCAUUCCUUUUUUUCAAUAAAGAAAACAAUCCAGUGCAAGACAAUAAAGAUAUAUAUGUGGUAAGAAUCUUUCAGGACAAGAUUUUUGCUCGAAGGCCAAGUAAUGUACAGCUCAAAAUCCUUGUGGCCUACGUACAACUCUUUAACUUGUGACUGCAUAAUUCAGUUCUCACUUUUCAAAUGAUGCCCUUUUCUAAUUUAGCUUUUGAUAGUAUAACUUCCUUCACAAGUCUAUUAAAAUUCAAGUAUGAUGAACCAUCAAGGCCAGUUGCUUCUUCUGCCUUCAGCUUCCAGUCCGUAGCUUUUCUCUCCAUCUCUCUUCCUUUAUCUCCUUCGAUCAAUUCUCUCACGAUUUUUUCCACUUCAUUUCUUUUCACAUUUGUAUCAAUCUCCAUCCCGAUGCCCCAUUCUUGACAUGCAUACCUACAAUUGAUAAGUUGAUCAGCAAAAAAUGGCCAACAAAUCACGGGCACACCACAGCACAAGCUUUCCAAAAUUGAGUUCCAUCCACUAUGUGCAAGAAUCCUCCGGUUGAGGAAUGUUUGAGCACUUGCUCUUGAGCGCACCACCCUGUAAUCAUACCUCUUUCUUUAGUUUCUUCAACAAAUUCAGGUGACAAAAUUGCAGAAUCGCCCACAACAAGGUCGGGUCUUAAUAUCCACAGGAAACUUUUGUUACUGUUAGCUAGUCCCCAAGCAAACUCCACCAGUUGUUCUGGCGUCAGCGCAGCUAUGCUGCCAAAGUUUACAUAGAGCACUGAAUUUGCUUCCUUUGUGUUCAACCAUUGAAUGCACUCUGCGUCUUCUUUCCAUAAGUUGGAUCCAAUAGAUUGAUGACUAUCUUGUGGAAGCUGAUUGAACAAAAGCUGAAGAGGGCCAAUGGCGUAUAUUGGAGGACACAUGCUCGAAAGAGAAUUUAGAACAUCGAACUCAAGGGAGUCAAAUGUAUUGAUCAUCAAUGCCGAUGCUUGGGAAGCUCUCGCAGAUUCAGUUAUGGCGAAGUUUAGCAUUAUGUUGUCUGGAUCUGUUGUUCGAAUAAAGCUGGGGAAGUCUCUUAGACGUAUCUCAGGCAUUCCUGGAAGCCAAUCCAUUUUGGUGUCUAAAUAUCCGUUUGUCAGAUAAAUUGCAUCUGUUGUUACAAAAAGGUCGCACAAGUAUUGGCAUCAUUCAUCUGAGCGAUCACUUCCAAGAAAUGUAAUUAAGCGCACAACUAUUCUGCUCCAAGCAUCUCAAGGGAAAAUGCUCUAUAGCACUAAAAUUUGAUGCAUUUGAAGUACCCUUUGAAAGUUAAAAAGAGUACCUCUUAAGUCUGGAUACAGUACCUUUACUUUAUAUGACAAUAGCAAAGCACCAACCGUAUUUAGGACUUUCCAGUAGUCAUGCAGUAGAACCACAUUGCAUUAUAAUGUUUUAGAUUCCCCAUUUUAACUGACAUCUAUUAAAUUGGAAAAGAACUCGUAUCCAAAGUUUUAUGAUAUCCGUCUGUUGCUUGUCUCAUGAUAAUGACAUGUGAUUAAAUCUUGAAAUUAAUUGUUGUCAAAUUUAAUCUCUGUCAAAGGAAACAGUUGAUUAAUGAAAACACAAAGACCACUGUUUUUUUUUUUUUUUAAAUAAACAAGUACCAAGAAACAGCUAAAAUUUUCUCAUUUAUCAGCAAUCUUAGACACCUCAAAGAAUCUACAAUCUAGUUAUGCGAGUAAAUCAAAUUGAACCAUUAAAAUACCUUUAAGAGGCACGAGUCCCCUUUUCACGAGAUGUUCAACAUGUUUAUAGCACAUCAAGCUGCAGGCAUUAGCAGUCCGAAAAAGAACACCAGGGACCCCAAUUUCCUCAGCAGCUUCAAGAGCAAAGGACAUGAUUGCGUCAGAAAUUAUACAUGUUACAGGAGGAACAUUCAAAGAUUCUGGUGCAUCAUUGAGUCUCUUUAUUAGUUCCCGAAGAGGGCCAAAGCAAUGGUUUCGAGUCGAAUCACAUAGUGAUGGAAUGUCUUGUGUUGCAUUAUUAUCAUCAGUUGAAGUUGAGAGGCCAUCUGGGAUAGCUUUGAACUGAAAAUCUGAAAAGCCAUCAAGAGACUUGGGACCUCUGGCUUUGAGCAAACGCCUGUGAUUGUAUUCUGUGUUGACAAAAGUGAUGUGAAAGCCUCUGUGGUAAAGAAGUAUGGCUAGUUUCAGCAAAGGACUUAUGUGACCCUGCGCUGGAAAUGGUAAGCAUACUGCAUGUGGCUUUUGAAAGUCAUGAAUAUUUAUUAAAGAAUCCAUCUCUUAUUUGUUCCUUCUUUUGCACUUCUUUAGCUCCACAGAUUUAUAGAACAUCAUGCACAGACCAAGUCUCUGAAGGAGAAAUCUCUGUGUUAUUUCAUUUUAUCCCCUUAGAGUAAGCAAAAAUCUCAAUUGCCCAUUUGGAUUUCUAUUUUCUAGAGUUUUUGUAGAAAAAUAUAUUAUAGUGAUUUGAUGUAUGUGAUGUAAAAAAGGUGAUUGAAAAAUGUGUUCACGAAAAAAUAUAAAAAUUUUUUAGGAAAAAAUGCCAAUACAAAAGGAAUCCAAAUUUUUUUUUAGUCAUAGAAAAUGGUUCUAUGAUAUUUUUAUAACAUUGUGCAAAUAUAUAUUGACAUGUACCGAUAGUUAUUAUAAUUUUCAUUAUACCUUUGGGCAUGGGUAGUAUAAUUGUAGUUUUCAUAUGACAAAUGCCCUUAAAAAAAGAUAUAUGCAUCAAAUUUUGAUUUUAAAUUCAUUGCGCUUGGUGACCGCUAACACGUUGGACUUUGAAUUAUUUAAAAAAAACACAGACAAAAGAAACCUUCCAUGUCCACACCCAAAAGCAAAAUAAAAUUCUAACAAAAAGAAAAAAAAAAAAGAAGAAGAAGAAGAAGAAUCAGACCAUGAGACUCCUCCAUCUAUUCUUCAGUCCUUCAGUACAUACAAGGACAAGUGACAACUGACAACCAUUGUAUGUCAUUGGCAGGAUUUGAAUUAUUGACGACAAGUGUGGGCCUUUGAAUUAUUGAAGUUUCCGUGGUCCGAUGAUUGAACUUACUCGCGGAACGUCAAAAAUUACUCAGUGAUGGUGCACGAGGUUGUCACGAGCUGUUGGAUUGUCGAUAGGACUUGAGCAGUAGGAGCGUCAAUACGGUCGGGCAGCUUGAGCUUGGUCCGCUCGACUCGAUAAAAAGUCUAAUGAACUUAACCUUUCAUUGAAUUGGGUUUAAGUAUAAAAUUCGAUUUAUAUAUGAGUUUAGUUUAGAUUUUAUUAGACUCAAAUUCAAUAUAAGUCCUAACAGUUAAUCUGUAUCUAUAUGCAUACAUACAUACAUAUAUAUAAUACAUUUAUACUUUGGUAUUUAUAAUUAUGUAUCCAAAUAACUACAUUGCAGCACUGUUGUCACAGAUGGGGCUUUUGAUGCUCAGUUGGUGAGUGGUGGUAUGGAUUUUGUGGUUUUAAAUUCUCCUGGUCGGGUAAUGCACAAAAUCUCCAAGAAGCUAUUUGUAAUUUGCAGAAUCUGCAGUUCAAGCGGAAGCAUUAGCUUGUCUGGAAGAGCAUUAGUGUCGGCAAUGAGGCUUUAGUCCUGUUUGAUCACCAAUUUAACACUUAAAUUUAAUAGGUUUAGAUCUUAACAUAUUUAGACUGUUUGAUAAUCAAAAAUUGAACAUUUGAAUUAAUUAACUGACACUGAAUUUUCUAAACAAAACUUGCUCCUAAAAUUAAGUAAGCUAUUCACUUAUCACUGAAUGUGAUAUACACUCAAAUGUAUUAGAUUUACUAUUUAACAAUUCAAUAAUUUAAUGGAUUCAAAUUUCAUAUUUCAGAUUUUAGAUUUCAAUUUUAUCAAACGGACCUUUAUUGUACCUCUCUACCAGUCAAAACUGAUUGUAUGUUAUUGUUUAUCCUAUCUUUGCACGUUAUCUGGCUCACCCCAAUGUUAGGAAUGUCAUUAAUGAUGUUAUAACUAUGUCGUCUUUCUAUUCUAAGUUGUAUUAGGUAGGGCUGCAAACGAACCGAACCGAACCGCUCGCGAGUGGCUCGAGUCAAGCUCGACUCGAGUUGGAUCAAUAUCGAGCUCGAGCUGGCUCAAGUCGAAAUUGAGCUCGAACUCGAGCUCAAAAUAUUAAGCUCGGCUCGGGCAUAUAUAUAUAUUUUUUUAUUUUUAUUUUUAAAGUAUAUAUACAUAUUUUUUUAUUUUAAGCAUAUAUUUUUUUUAUAUUUUUAUUUUAAUAGUAAAAUUACAUAUAUAUCCUUAAUAUUUUAUUAUUUAUUAAGAAAAAAUUAUUAUUUUAUUUAUUUUUUAAAAAAUAAAAUAAUUAUUUUUAUUUUUUUCGAGCUUGAGCUCGAGUUUUAAAUUGUCAGCUCGUCGAGCUCGAGCUCGAGUUCGAGUUCAAUAAAAUUAAGUCAAGAUUCGACUCGAUUAGGCCAAAACUCAACUCGGUUCGACUCGUUUGCAGCCCUAGUAUUAGAUAAAGUUGGCAAGGAUCAAGUCCUUCUUGCCCAUGAGUUAGCGGUCGCUAUAAUGUUACUGCUACCUCUCAUUAAUAUUAAUUUUCUGUUUGUGUUUUUCACAAAAAAGUUUUAAUGUUGUAGUUCUAUGGAUAUUAAAUUAGCUUGGGAACUGAAUAACUAAAGUAAUUAUAUUAAGAAAAUUAAUGAACAAUAAGUGAGUUUUAGUUAAACCCAAAUUUGGCUCAUAACCCAAAUAUUUUGUGAUUCAAGUAUUAGUUUCACGUUUAUCAACUUGAAACUUAUAAUCCGAGAUCCGCAAAUGAUACUAACUAUAUGAGUCGAGUUUGGACUUGUUAAAACCCGACUUACAUGGCCUAAUUGACAGUGUAGCACGAGGUAUCAUGUUCAAUUUUUUUAAGUUUUCUUUUUCAUUCUACAUUCAUCCCCUGUCCUUCAUGCCUUAAAUUAUGGUAAGAGGUCAUACAACUUUCUUUUAAAAAUGAAGUGGGAAAGAAAAAUUUUAAGCUCUCUGUAUCUCUCUCUCUCAAGGUUGAUUUCAAAUCUUUUAAAGGAAAAUAAAAAAAUCGGAGGCCAACCAGUCAAAUCAAAGAUCUUACUAUCACUUAACAAUUUUUUUUUUUUAAAGAUGAGAAUUAAGCACCCUUAUGUGUUUACUGGAUUCGGAAUCAUCAUAUUCACAGACUUCUUUUCAUUUUUAUUAUCUAUUAAAUUUCAAAGAGUUAUUGCAAAUAUACCAUUUUUUUUUUUGUUUUUAACUGGUGAUCAUAGACGAUUACAACUGAGUUCUACAAGCACAUCCCAUAACAUAAAAUGAAACAGCUACUAUAUCGAGAGAGAGAGAGAGAGAGAGAGAAGUUAAGCAUCAAAGAUGCAAAAUUGGAAUCAGCCCAAAUUUACUUGAUCAGGGCAGAAGUCGAUCCCACAAGAUAAGUUGAAGCUCAAGCCAUGAGAAUAGGAAACGUGCAUGCAUUAUCUUGGUUGCUGCAUACUUGCAAGUAACCUUUAUCUAAAAUCUGGAUAAUUAGGUACAGGCCAACAUGCAUGCAUUUUCUUGAUUACUGCAUAUUUGCAAGUUACCUUUAACUAAAAUCUGGAAAUUAGGCAUUGUUGGGUUGGAGUGAUGAAAUGAGCUAAGGCUUUUGGGCACGAGAUUCCCCUCUUAGGUGAUUUACCAGCAAUUUGAAGUUGUUGUAAGAUGUCCCACCAGGCUUUGUAGCCCUAUCUGCUUUAUCCUUCCAUUCCAUGAUCUUUUCCUUCAUUUCCUUUCCUUUGCUUCCCUCCAUUAACUCCCUUACUAGCCCUUCUACUUCUUCAUCUCUUUUAACAUUAUUAUCAAUCUCCAUUCCAAUUUCCCAUUUGGUACAAAUGUAAAGACAAUUUGUUGGUUGUUCACCAAAAAAAGGCCAACAAACCAUUGGCACGCCUUCACAAAUGCUUUCCAAUGUUGAAUUCCACCCACAGUGUGUCAAGAAUCCUCCAAUCGAAGGAUGGCCGAGAAUUUUCUCUUGUGGGCACCAAUCAAGCAGCAGUCCUCUGUCCUUGAUUUCAUCCAAGAAAUCAUGAGAUAUGACCUGUGUCCCACCAUUUACAAGAUUAGGCCUAAUCACCCACAAGAAUGGAUGUUUACUAUUGGCUAAUCCCCAACCAAACUCCCUCAACUGACCUGGAGUCAAAAUUACCAAACUCCCAUAGUUCACAUACACAACUGAUCCAGGUUUCUUCUUGUCAAGCCAAUCUAUGCAUCCCAUGUCCUGUUUCCACAAGAUGGAAUCGAGGGAAUCCAAAUUCCCUCCGCGGAGUUGUUGUUCAAGCAUUGAUAGGGUCCAAUCGUGUACAAAGUUGGAAACUUUAUUCUUAUAGCAUCUAAAACUUCUUUUUCCAAAUCUUCAAAUGAGUUGAGAAUUAAGCUGCUUGUCCUCAGAGCAUUUUGUAGUGACUUUAGGUUGUAAUUGAACAUUAUGUCUCCAGGAUUCGUGGAUUGGACGAACGAGGGAAGGUCUUUUAGUCGAAUCCCUUUCAUUGCCGGUAUCCAAUCAAGCUCAGUAUCAAGAUAUCCAUUAGAAAAGCAGCUUUCAUCUGGAAAAGAGGUUGUUUGCAUCAUGUAGAUACUCUUAUAAAUUAUUAUCAGAAUAGUCACAGAAAAAAAGACCCAAAUAUGCAUCAUGAUACCUGUCAGGGGAAAGUAGCCUCUUUCUCUGAGCUCUUCGUACUGAAGAUAGCCUAACAUCCCGCAAGCACUGGGCGUAAAGAACAGGAUUUCGGGGAUUCGGAAUUCUCGAGCUACUUCCAAAGUGAAGCUCAUGACACCAUCAGAAACUAUGCAAGAAACAGGUGGAACAUCAGGGGAAGAGUUCAGUUCCGAUAUGAGUUGCUUGAAUGAUUGUUUGCAGUGCACAGGCAUGGCUACGCACAGGUCAGGAAGAUCCAAUAUACCUCGCUGGUUGGACGCUGGCAAGCCAUCAGCAACGGUCCGGAAUUGAAAAUCGUCAUGUAUUAUGUCUAGUGGAUCUGAAUCCUUGGACUUGAGCAAUCUGUUAUAGUUGAAUUCUGUGUGGACGAAAGUGAUGUGAAAUCCGGUAUAAUGAAGAAGCUUGGCAAGUUUUAGCAUGGGAUUAAUGUGGCCUUGGGCUGGGAGUGGGAUACAAACUACAUGAGGUUUCCUGCUGGACUCCAUUCCGAUUUCUCGAUUGGGUUACUUGUAACUGUUAAAGAGUGGAAAAGAUAAGACACCGCUGUGAAGAUGCAAGGCGGAGGGUGGAGCUUUGGGCUUGAAGAUGCACUCCAGAACAUGGUUCAAAGACUCGGGCCGAGUCGUCACCAGAACGAAGCUCUCCAAUAUGAUACCGAAACAAAAUGACUCUAAGAUAAUGGAUCACCGAGAACUCAACUAAGACAGCUUCGAAGCAGAUAGAAACUGCCGAAUCGUCCGAAUCAUCCCUAGUCGAUUUGAACUUUUAUUAUUUUUGCUAAUUUUUUUUAAUUAUUUUUGUUUAUCAUAUUUUUUAUAUAAUUCAUAAUUUUUAAAAUAUUAAAUAUUUUAAAAUUUACGUCUUGUCGAAACCACAAUCAAUAUACCGAAAUCGAUGUCAAACGAUCCACGAAUGGGACCGCAACUUUGAACCGUGCUCCAAAAUAAUCAAAUCAGACCCGUGACUAAUAAUUCUUGUCUUUUUUUUUGGUCUGCUGACUCUGCUCCCAAAUUGCCUCUCCCCUUAAACCAAUAUAAUGACUGGUGGUAAUUAAUUUCAAACGUUGAACUUUUGUCUUUAAUUGGCUGGGGUACCACUUCUACAUUUGACUUCAUCUGAAGAUAAGGCAGUGGCGUGAAGCGUGAACCUAGGCAGAGUCUUUUGGAAUUGAGAAGACGCAUCUUAAGAACAGAGAAAUGAAGUCUAAAAAAUAGGCAAUAAUUUUGGUCAGUCUUCCGUUUUAAUGUCGUAGGAGUGGCAUUUUGCCCAAAAUGGUCCUUUAACUAUUAAAGAGUCUGUCACCUAAAUAUUGUCCAUUUGAAUUAGCUGUUUUUUAAGGUAUUUUUGAAAAAUUUUACCGUAACAGUGUAUAUGAAAAAUUUUAUAAAAAUUUUGAUAUAUUGUAUGAAUGAGAUGUUUUUUGAGUUAUUGUAUAUUAUCAAUUCAAACAGAUGCUGGCGCAGCAGCCAUACCCGCCCUCAUAUAUAUUUAUAUUUUUUGUUCUUUUUUCCGUUCUUUGGGAUGCGAAACGCCACCUUCGUUGAGCUUGGAUUGUUAUCUAUUUUGGUGAUAUAAUCUCCAAAAUAGAUAAGUACAAACUAUUUAUUGGACAAUUACGUUCUCUCUCUCUCCACAAGUGUUAGUAGGAUAAAAUCAAGCAAAAAGGGAGGGAAAAAAACUCUCAAGGAAAAAAAAAAAAAAGAGGAGAUCAGGGACGUAGGUGUUGAACCUUGGCACGAGGUGGCGGAGAUGCUCCCGGUAUUGCCACAUUGCAUUGGCUCCAAAGCCAUGCAGCAGCAGAAGAUUAGGUUUCGAUGGUUCGGCCGUUUUUGGCACCCAACAAUGCAUGACGGUACCAUCCCCAAAAUCUGUUGUGACAGAUUUGAGGCCAGCGUAGGCGAAAAAGUACCUAUGAAGCCAAUCUGCUGAUGCUGUGAAGCUAAUGCCUCCUGCCAUUUAUGUCAAACCUCAGAGGUUUUAAGCUCUUCCAAGAGUGGUCGAAACUUAAAAAAGUUUAUUUUUCUUUUGGGUAUUCUUCUCCUAGAAAUUUUGUAGAUUUCCUCUGUCAAGACAAACAAAGAAAUUGUAGCUAAGAGAACGAGAGAAUGGCUAUAAUUUAGCUCGUGGAACACCUCCGAUCCUCGGCCCCACGACGGAUUAUUAGUCUGUCGACGCCGUUAAAAUCACGUGCGUUUUCAACUUCUAUAUUUCCCAAAUCCCCUAAAACUCCAAUCCAACUUUAUAUUUUCCAAUUCUCCUAAAAAUCCAAUCGGGCUUUGGCUUGUAUUCCUCGUUAAGAAAAGCAAAAACAGAUAUUUGAUGUAAUUAAUUAUUAGAAAUAACUAAAUUAGCAUACUGUGUCUUUUCCAAUUCCAUAGAGCGAAUAGAAGGAGAAAACCCCCUCUUUUUUUUUUAAUCUUCAAUAUUUGUUUAUGAAGACUAGGUUUAAAUCUUGUUUACGGCUUGGAUGGCAGUUGUAGUUGUGUCCAAAUUUUGGAGUUUAUUGCUAAAAUAACUCUUCUUCUAAAAUAUAUAUCCAAAGUAACCUAAUUUUAAAAAUUAUUACCUUUAUAAUUCUCUUUUUGCCACAAAGGUUGCAUAUGUGGCAGGAUGGAAAUAGAGACAUAUUCUAUCUUUCUUUUUUAUCUGAUAUCCCCCCGGAUUCUCUCUCUGAACUUUUUCCUUUAGUUAUUUUUUUCUUGUCAAAAGUAAUUUUGAGAAGCCAAUAUUUAUAUUAACAGAAUCUAAAACUUCACUAUCAUUCCUGAUAUUGUAUUCGUGGAUGAAAAUAUUCUUCUUGAAUUGAUGAUCUUAAGGUAAAUGAAGAUUAUUCUCUUGUCUUUUCUAUUGUAUAGUUUUUGGAACAUUCCUAUAGCCUUCAAAAAAAUUUUGAAUACUAAUUGUGUAACAAAUGAUUUCCCAUACCAUGUGUUUGUUAAAAUGUCCAAGAGGAAAACUACAUAACAACAUAGAUUCAUACUCAAUAUGUUUGAUUUCCACCAUAUACACGAGCAUGUUCAUUUGUAGUGCUUCUCUAUCACAUGAUCAAAUAAUCUCAUAUACUUAAUGUAUUUUUGCACAUUUAUUCAACAUCAAUCAAUGGUUUGUGCUACUUCUGAGCAACUUGAGCAUUAUCUUAAUUGCAUUAGUAGAUUUCUUUUGCAUUACAUGAAAUUUAUUAGUCUCAAUUUCGAUUUAAUCUACUAGUGGUUCUUGUAUCUAAUGGUAUUCUAAAUAACAUGUAAAUGAUAACCUUGCUAAUUAUUGACAAACACUGGUAGUUCUUGUCUUAGAUAGCAUGACAAUAUUUGCUUAAUUAAUGAUUUUUUUAAUUUUGUGUAGGUGGUGCUGCUGAAUUUUGUAGCAAUGGCUGGUAAAAAUGUUACUAUAUUUUUUUAUUGUAAUGGUAGGAUGACAACAGGCAUACAUGGUCUUAGUUACGAGGGUGUUACUCCAAAAGCCAUUCGAGUAAGUUAUCAGAUAAAAUACCAUGAAAUCAUGGACAAGAUAUAUGUUAUCAAUGGCUAUGAAAAACAUCAAGUUGCGAUAAAAAACUUCUAACUUGUGAUACCUCUUUGUUUUCCUCAUUCCCUAUAUGUGAUUUGCAAUGAUCAAAUAGAACUUACCCAUUUUGGAGAUAGGAUUAGUGAAGUGCUCGAAUUUAGCAUUAUUGAAGUGCCUGAACAUAGAAUGAGUGGAUUGCGUAAUGACAUUUUUGUAUUCAUUUCCCCUUUGCUAACACUUAAGGAAGUUUCAAGAGUGUGGGUUCAAAUAUUUCAAAAUUGCUUGCAAUUGGCAAUGAUUAUGAGACACAUUUAUUGAUUGCAAAUUUAUUGUAAUUAUAUUAUGAAAGUUUAUUUACUUCAGAAUAUCUUGUUUUUUUAGUUCGUUGCAUAAGAUAUGGAUGUGGAGAACUUUAUUACAUUAUUAAAAUUUAAUUAAAAAAUCUUAUUUUUGUCUUUUUUUCCCUUAUAACAUGACUUUUUCCAGUAGUAGGAUGCCAUUUGCCUUUUAUAAUACUUGAUUACUUAUAUAAUAAUCAAAUUGAAAACUUGAAAAUUUCAAUUUGAUAACUUUUUGUAAAAGUUCUUUUCAAGAAGUAGGAAGCAUAACAUAAACAAAUAUGAUAACCUUGAAGUUUUUGUAACUUUUUCUUGUUAUUACUUACGAUUUUCAUUGCAAUUUUUGUAUUUUGCAAAUUUAUUUUUGAAAAAUAUAUGAAAUAAGUUGAUACAUUUUUUUAAAAGUGUAGAGACCACUAAUAGUAAGGUCAAAUAACGGUAGAAUUUAUUUUAAAUAAUUAUAAGGAAAUUAUCAAAGUUACGCAAUUUUCUUGUGCCUUUAUAAUAAAAAAGUUUAAAUUUUUAGUUCAUGUUGGAAACUAUAGACUAGAUUAAAGUUUUCCUUUCUUGUUAUGCUACAUGGAAAUCAGGGUAAUUAGGUGACAACAAUAACAUCAUUAUGGGAAUAAAAUUUGAAAGUGAAUCACAUUGAGAAUAUUUUUUAGAAAGAGUGUUAUUUUGGCAAAAACUCCCAAAUUUUGCAGGAAAGAUAGAAUUUGUAUUGAAUCACAAUUGCAAUUCAUGAUUUAACACGUUGACCAAACUAAUUAUUUUUAUUUGAAGUUUGGAGAAUUGUUAAUUUUAUUUAGAGUAUGGUCCAAAAUUUCCUUUUCUACCUUGUAUAUAAAAAGAAAGAGAAGUUACUGUAGGCUGUAGCAACCUCUUUUUUUUGCCAAGUGUAUAGUCUCUUAUUUUGACAAGUGUCAAUUUCUAUUUGUAGUUGAAUUUUUACUCCACUAUUUUUUUUGGUUAAUCAAAAGUCAUAAAUAUCUCUCCUCCCAAUUCUUUUUUUUUCCUCUUUCUGCCUCUGCUUUUAACUUUCAUUUCCCUCUUUUUUCGUCAUUUUUCUUUUUUCCCCCUUCAAAUUUUUUCUUUAUAAUUAAUUAUACUAAGAUUAUUUUCUUACUAUUUUUUUAGAUGAUUAUUGUUGACCAUGGAGAGGUGUCGCAACAAUCAACUAAUUUAUACUAUCAGUUCCUAUUCCAUCAAUUUUAACUCUUUAAUCCAGUAUUUUGGCUUUUCUUUUCUUUUUUUUUCUUCAUCCUAAUUUUUCUCUGCCAUUUCUCGUUCCGCUCAAUCAAUGCAUUUUUUUCCUUUUUGCUCUAUAAUUAAUUGAAUGUAUAUUUUUCUUGUAGGGGAAUGGAUAUUUCUUUUAUUGCAUUGUUCAAAAAUCAUGAUUCAUGAAUCAUAAUCAUCUUUUUUUUAGGAGAAACCUAGACAAUAGACCUUUUACCUCCACUACUCCUACUGUUUGGUAUAUUCCAUUUUCUUUUUAUUCCUAUUCUUCCCUCAUUUCAUGCUGCCAAAUAUGGACUUAACCUUUUUUUUAUUAACUGUAUUAUUAACUUUUUUUAUUAACUGUAUUUUAUUUAGCCUUUAUCAUUUUUCUUUUUUUUUUUUGCCUCUUUAUUCUGUGACCUUGGUGUAUUUAUUUAUUUUGGCUUGAUCUACUUGAUAUUCAUUAAGCCUUCCAUUAUUUUGGUUCUGCAAAUCGAUUUUCCUUUUGUACGGGUUGUCUUAAAUCUAAAUGCAAAAUUUAUUUUUUGCAAUUUUGAUGUUUUAGUUCCUUUUUAAUGCAUAAUUGAAUCUUACACUUCCUUUACUAAUUCUUUGGUACUGAAUUUUUGUACCCUUUUUAUGCAUUGAAAAGCCUUCCAUUUAACUUUCUUGCAAGUUUUAUUGUGAAUUUAUAGGACACAAGUUUUUACAUGAUUGUGUCUUGUUUGAAAAAGAAAUAGUGGUGAAAUUUUAUACAUUUGUAAUUAUAAUAGCAUGACACUUGAGUUUUAUGAAGCAUAUAUCAUUUAUGUUAAUAUUGAAUUGGUUUUGCAUUUCUCCUGUGUUUGGUUUUUGAAUUCUUUGUUGUUGUUUGUCCAUACAAUACCCUAUUGCAUCACAAUAAGCAAGUUGGAGCAAACUUUUGGAACAUUCCACUAAAGCUAAGCUUUUUUAGGCUCAUUUUUUGACAAUUAUAAUUUCUAUUUAUUUGAAAGCAAAUUAUAGUGUAAUGAAUUUUAGCCAUAAUUUUAUAGAUGGGCCUACACUGUGCUUGCACAGUCUGGUUCCUUGAGUGUCAGAAUAUGUGUUGCUACGUGCAAGCAACGUGCAAGCAUUAGAGUGAUGGGGCCUAGCAGAGGCUUAGUGAUUGGAGCAGGAGAUGACCAUUAAAAUCGGACCCUCAAAUAUGUGUUGUACAUUAAAAGUGGUACAAAAUGCGGACCCUCAAAUGUGUGUUGCACAAUAAUAGUAGCACAAAAUGACGGAGAUUGGAGAGGACAUUGAGAAUUGUUAAGAGUAAGUUGAUUCUUGAAGAGAGCUAAAUAUAUGCAUGGAAUAUUUGAAGUCACAAACAGAAUAUUAUCAUCGUCAUAUUAUGCAAGGUGUAUUAUUACUACAACAUAUUAGGAACCCAGAUUUUUUUCCCCAACGAUAUUGCAAAGAAAAGGACAUUGAGAAUUGUUAAGAGUAAGUUGAUUCUUGAAGAGAGCUAAAUAUAUGCAUGGAAUAUUUGAAGUCACAAACAGAAUAUUAUCAUCGUCAUAUUAUGCAAGGUGUAUUAUUACUACAACAUAUUGGGAACCCAGAUUUUUUCCCCAACGAUAUUGCAAAGAAAAGGACCCUCAAAUAUGUGUUGCACAAUAACAGUAGUACAAAAUGGUGGGAUUGGAGCAGGCUCGCCGUGUUUGAUUAUUUGGCAAGGGCAUUUCUUGAGAACCACAUCCCGUGGCAUGCUAGGGAUUCAGGGAAGGAGAGAAAAGAAAACAAAAAUUUUUUUAACCCAAAAAGAAAAAAGAAAGAAAACGAAAGAAGCGAAAAUAAGCAUCUCCGGUACCUAAAUAAAUUGCCCAGGUAAGAGAGAAGGUGAAAAUCUUUUCAGAUGAUCUUCUCCUUUUUAAGAUUAGGACUCACCCCUCCAAACUUUUAUAUAUAUAUAUAUAUAUAUAUAUAUAUAUUCAGAGUAAGAAAUUGAUAUGUGCCCAAGAAAAUAGAAGUAAACGAGUAUCUAUGAUUCAGGCCUUGUUCUCGUUGGUUUUAGAUUUUAUAAAUUUUGAUUAUGAAAAGUGAUUAAUAAUCAGAAUCUGCAAUAACGAUGGAUUAUAAAUUUUAGCCUUUUAAGUUUUGAAAAAUCUAUAAUUUGAAUACAAAAGUAAGUGAAAACAUCAUAAAAAUUGAUUCUCAAAAAUCAAAAUCUAUAAUCAGUUUAAAUAAUGAAUUGAGAACAAACCUUUAAGCUCGAGACUGCAGUAAUUUAUGGAGACAGUGGCCACAAUAAAGCUCAAGGUUCCUUUAAUAUCUCGUGUUUUCGGAUGGUUAGAACUACAAACAGUUGGAUUUCUUUAACUUUGUUAUAGUAAUCGUUUUACUGGAUCGAGAUUUUAAUAUAUACUAGUUGUUUUUCGACAUUAACACCAUCCAUCAAAUAACUGAGAUUCAUUAUAUAUUUUGCUACCGUGUCUAUGUGUUUUUCUUUCUUGGUUAGAUAUGCUAGUCAUGUGUGUGCGUGGGUGUUUUUCCGUCAGUACACACAGCCAAACAUGACCUUUGAAAUCAGGUUAUAAUCUAACAUUCUUAAUGUAGUAUUAAUUAGUAAGUAAUGCCUAAAAUUAGGUGAAACUAACAGGCAUAUGGCUAUGCAUGUGAAUGUGUAGCCUUGCUUAUUAGUCACAUUGCUCCUCUAAGAUAAGCGAUUUGACAAUCUCUGUUCUUUUUUUGGCAAUUUCUGUUUGCUGGUGUGUACUUCAGAUUUAAUGUUCUAAUGAAAGAAAGAAAGACAACCAUAAAUUGGGUUUAUCAUUUUCUUCUAUUUGCUAGUCUUGAACGAGCAUUCAAGCAUAUUUCAAAAGAUUUUCAAACCAACGUAAAAUUGAAUUAAUCUUUUUUUAUAUAUUCAGUGAGUUUUUUUUUUCACAUUAGUAGGUUUGGAUGCAUGACACAUAAUUUUUAUUCAAAUUACAGAUUUUUCUUUUUUAUAUGUAGCAUGCACCCAAUCUUACUUGUGUAAAAGAGUUUCUAUGAAAUAAAAAAGACUAAAUUUAUAAAAUUUGCAAAAAAAAAAAUCAGGAAAAUUGAGAUGUUUGAUGCUGGCGAGGCACUAAAACCAACUUUUAUACCCGGAAAAGCCAACCCCAAAUGGAAAGCAAACGGGGGCAUUAGAAUCCAGUCAUUAAGAUCUGCAAUUGGGGGACAUACAAGACCUUUGAGCAUUUCCAUACUUGUGGUUGGGAAAAACUCUCAUGUUGUUUGUAUUAAAUUCAAAACUUGAGAUUGAAAUCCUAAAGAUGUAAGAGCGGAUCUUUUUGCUUUUCAUAUUCUGAACGAGUUGCAAAUAUGAAGCAACUUGUGAGGCCGUGAUCCGUACAUGCGCGUCUCUACAAUUCUAGUACUCAUUGAUUUAGACUUUUUGUUUGGAUUCAUGAUAUUCCAUUCCACGUUCAAAAAGUAAAGUGUUAUAAACCAAUACUUAAGAAGAACACUCCUCUUUACUUAUUAUUAUGUUUUAAACUUGAAGAGCACAUUUUUUUAUUUGGUUUUUUGUGGCAUGAAUAAUUGAUGAUCCAAUUAGUCAAGUUGCAAAGAGGGGUGGUGAGAAAUGAAAGUCUAAACGUCUAACGGGUGCUCAUUUCAUGUGUCAUAUUUUUAGAAAGGUAAGAUUAAUUAGAGAAAAUAAAUAAAUACAAUAGAGGGUAGGUAUGAUUAAAUAGGAAAAAUAUGUAAAUACAAAGGAGGACAAUAAUUGUUACUCUGAGCAUAUCCACGAUAAGGAAGGGUAAUAAUUAUUAGGUGAUUAAGUUCCACAUACUCCGUAUAGUUCACAACAAUCUUCACUGCAUUGGAUUUGUGAAAGACGAGGCAGUUGUUGAUUAGCUGCUCCAAAAGCGUCGAUGCCUGUAGUAAUUAAUCAAGGAAUGGGAGGAGGAGGAGGAGCAGGGGGCGGAAUCAGAAGAAUCAACAAGAAAUGUUUUGAGAUGUUUGUUAAAUUCCUUAGGCUUCUCCAAGUUGACGCCAUGUCCUGCAUGUUUAAUCACCUCAAUUCGAGCAUUUUCCCCAAUAUGCCUGCAUGCUCAUGGACAUGAUAUUUUUUCCUCAAUUCCCAAGUCACAUAACACAGAAUUAAUUUGUAAUUGUACAUAAAGGUUACUCCUCGAUCUCAUUAGACGGAAACAAACAGCUAGUUGAAAGGUUACCUUUUCAUUCUGUGACCCAAUUCCACGGGGAAGAUUUGAUCCUGCUCCCCCCAUAUGAUCAAUGUGGGCUGUUUCAAAUAUGAUACCAUUUUGAAUCAAGAAAGAAAUUAGUCCAUCCAUCUAGAAAGCGCGGGUGUCAGAUGGAUUCAGUCAUGAUAGCAAAAAAUUCCAACCUAUAGCACCAUUAUAUUUUAGGAAGACUCAAUCAAACCUGUGUGAUUCUGGGAAUCUUUGAGAGCUGUCGAUCUUUGAGUAUAUUUUUUAUGAGUUCCCUCUUCUCUUUUACGUGGUCUGUGCACAUUACCUGCCCAUGCAACAAACAAUAUCAUCGCCAAAUUGAAAAUUGAAGUGUUUAAAUGCUGCAAUGAAAUAAUUAAGCGGCAUGCAUCUAAACGAGCAUGACAAAUUUCAACCGGUUAUCGUAUUUUUGGAAGGGUAUAUAUAUAUAUUCCUAUCACUCAUUUUAACCUUUCAAUGUGCAUCCGGGCUUCAACUAGCUAUUUGUUUCCAUCUAAGAUCGAGGAAUAACCUUUAUGUACUACUACAAAUUAAUUCUGUGAAUAUGACAUGGGCAGAAUGUUGUGUACGUAGUAAUUAAGGUCAUGUAAAGAUGUUCCCCUUUUCUUCUUGGUUUGUUAAACAAGUAUAGUGCUUGGCUAGUUGUCCGGUCCCGGUGGGAAUGCAACACUGGUUUCUUGUCACAAGGGCUCAUUUAUUCUUUAGUUGCCGGUGGUAGUCGCAGAGUUAGGAAUUAGAGUCUCAAUGCCGUGCGCAUAAAUUUCCAAAUCCUUCGGCCCACUGGCCACCAGAUCGAGAACCUGAUAGGCAUUUUGGACAAAAUUAUGAUGGAACGAUUUCCAGAGUUUUUCUUUUCUUCUCUUUUUUAUUGGAGCAAGGGAAAUGCAUAAACCUUUGACAUGCACAGAGAGAAAGAACGAGGCUACGCUUACGUCAAUAAAAUCUGUAAGGAAGCACGAGGGGACUCUUUUGACAGGCUUGGCGAAUGAAAGAUUCAUCAGUUCCCUAAGUUUAUCCGGGGUCUGGGGCACCAAAACGUUAGCAGCCUCGUCUAAAUCCGGAACCGGGAACAGACCCUCCUCCAUAUCCUUCUCCUCCGAGCAAACACCAGUGCAACAUAGCACCAAUUUCUCUAUUGCCUCGGGAAACUGCACCGCCAUGCUGUACCCUACAAACCCACCAUAACUUAUGCCCACCAAGUUCAUCUUUUGUACCCCGUGCACCUCCAUCAGUUUCAUGACGCAUUGUGCCUGGAAUGCCUCCGUUCUCUCGGGACUCUUGGUCGAGGAUUCGCCAAAAAAGAGGAGAUCAGGGACGUAGAUGUUGAACCUUGGCACGAGGUGGCGGAGAUGCUCCCGGUAUUGCCACAUUGCAUUGGCUCCAAAGCCAUGCAGCAGCAGAAGAUUAGGUUUCGAUGGUUUGACCGUUUUUGGCACCCAACAAUGCAUGAUGGUCCCAUCCCCAAAAUCUGUCGUGACAGAUUUGAGGCCAGUGUAGGCGAAAAAGGACCUAUAAAACCAAUCUGUCGAUGCUGUGAAGCUAAUGCCUCCUGCCAUCUAUGUCAAAACACAAAGGUUUCAGGCUCUUCCAAAAAUGUUUUUGGGUGUCUCCUAGAAUUUUUGUGGAAUUCCUCUAUCAAGACAAACAAAGAAAUUGUAGCUUAAGUGGAUGAGAAUGGCUAUAAUUUAGCACGUGAAACACUUCGGAUCCUCGGCCUCACAACCAAGUCUCACGACUGGUUACUACUCUGCCACGCCGUUAUAAUCACGUGCGUUUUCAACUUCUAUAUUUCCCAAUCCCCCUAAAAGUCCAAUCCAGCUUUAUAUUCCCGAUUCUCCUAAAAGUCCAAUCCGGCAUUGGCUCGUAUUCCUCAAUUCAGAAAAGUCAAAACCGAUACUUGAUGUAAUUAAUUAUUAGAAAUAUGUAAAUUAACGUAAUGUGCCUUUUCCAAUUCCACAGAACCAAUAGAAGGAGAAAAUCCUCUCUCUCUCUCUCUCUCUCUCUCUCUCUCUCUCUCUCUCUCUCUCUCUCUCUCUCUCUCUCUCUCUCUCUCUUUUAAAUCUCCAAUAUUUGUUUAUGAAACAGUUGUAAUUGUGUCCAAAUUUUGCAGAAAAGAUAGAUUUUGUAUUGAAUCACAAUUGCAAUUCUUGAUUUAACACAUUGACCAAACUAAUUAUUUUUAGGAAAAAUGGUUCAAAAGGUUCUUUACAUUUUGCAGAAUGAUUUUUUUCAUCCAUCACUUUUAUAAGUGUAAUUUUACGUCACUUACAAAUUCAUAUUGAUCAAAUUUAGUCCCUACCUAGAGUUUCGACAAACUUUUGAUCGGAAUCCUCUAUGCGUUUUGCAUCGAUUAAUGUUACCAUUCUGACGUCCCUUGUUUUCCUUGAUAUCAUUGAUUAAUUGUUCAUUAUUGUUUACUAGUUGAAUGGAUGCCCCACGUUUGCCAUUCUAAUGUCCCUUGUUUUCCUUGAUAUCAUGGAUUAACUGUUCAUUAUUGUUUACUAGUUGAAUGGAGGCCUCACGUGUGACGUGAGGGUGGGCAGGUUUUAGAAACAAUGAAUAUAUUAAUAAGGGCAUUGGCUAAUGUUAUAUUCAGCAUUAGGGGAAGUGUUGGUGCAUCGCGCAGGUGUUUGAUGCCUGUGGUUAGAAAGAAUUUUUCAUUGGAUAAAUAAUAGUACAUUCUGAAAAAAAAAAAAUAGUCAUCAAAUAUGACAAAACUAAUAAUAGUACAUUCUAAUUGCAAUACGCACUUGUACACUUUGGUUUGUCAAUACUUUUACAAUUUACCAUUUCCAAAAAAUCCCUAUAGAUGUCAGUUGAAAAUCACCCAAGAACAAACAUAAGUUGUUUCAAACAAAGAAAUAUACUCCAACUGUUAAUGGCUAUGUAUGAAUUGCACAACAGUUUAAUAUGCCUUUGUGUUAAUUCCACAAUAAAUGCCACAUUUCAAUUAAAUGUGUCUAUAACACCAUUUCAAUAAUUAUACCAACACAUAAACUUAUAUGAGUUGUACUCGAUGCAAAAGCGGUUGCAAAAUAAUUCCAUAUUUCAUAAAUAUCCAAAUGUCUCCAUGAAUCAAAGUUUUAAAUGUACCAAAAUGAGAACAUUUUGAUAAAUACACCUAAACACAUGCUUCUCUCAAUUGUAUCAAAAGUUUUUUAAAAAAAACUACACAACAUUUCACAUUUUCAAAAAACUCCUAUUCAUGCAGAUGAAACUCAAACUCCCUUUGAUCACAACUGAUUCUUAUAUGGUAUAAGGAUAUUAAUGCUAAAAUUAGGGGUAGGUGAAGUAUUUUGUUAUGUAUUAUUAUACGUAUUGUAACAAAUGCAAUAUAUUAUUAUGUGAAGAAACCAAUAGAGCACAAUGAAUUGAAUAAUGCCAAAUUUGAUUUUAACUUUGAAAAAUUAGGCCUUUCAUAAAAUAUAUAUCUUCCUACACACGAGAAAGCGAUUAAUGAAGCAUUAAAGUCAAAUAAGGUAUUCUUUAGACUAAGGAGUUAAUCCAAUCAUGUCUAGACUGACGAGUUAAUCAUGGCGCUUAAUCCAUUUCCAAUGAUAGAAUAGAUCUUCCUACACCUAAGAAAGGUUUAACGAUGGAUUGAAGUCAAAUAAGGCAUACUUGAGAUCCAGGAAUCCAAUCAUGUCUAUUAUUCUGAUCAUAGCAUCUAUGACAUGAAUGCAGCAACUACUACUACAUUGAAGGGGAAAAUGAACCUCCCUUUCUUCCCAUACAAACUCCAGUAAUUACGAUGUUCCGUAAGUGUAAUUUUCAUUUUUCCAUUCAGUUAAAAAAAAAAAAGACAAACAAAAAUCAAUUUCGUUUUCAAGCCUAUGAAAUGCUCAAUUUGAUAACGGGCAAAGAGAGAAGCACCAUUAUUCAAGAUACAGUCCUAGGCGGAGAACGUAUUGACAAUAUUUUACAAACAUAGAAAAAUUCUUAUCCAUUUAUAUAGAAAAAAAAAGUCCCCAGAAUCAAACCCAAUUAAGAAUGCAAAACUAAUUCUACUUCAAACAGAACAUUAACCCAAAAAAGAAAAAUCAAAUCACAUCCCAUAACCAAGUGAAAUACCUCCAAAUAAUUAAGUUUCAAGGAGGAUGUAUCAAGAGACUGUAGAAGAGAUAAAGGAACAAUAAUGCCCACCAAAUCAAAUGAACUGAGUCCCAUCAAUUGAUCCAAGGGGAAAAGCCCUAAAUAUUAAAUCAAAACUUAGGAAAUCAAGUUGCUGGACAAGAGAAGGGGCGCAUAGAAAGAGGGGCUGUGGCUGGGAGAAAAUUUAAUUUGUAUCUUUGAUUUCAAAAUUGCGAUGUUUCUGGGUGAAAGAGAGGACUUGACUAGUAGAAAAAGGAAUACUAGAGUCUUGACAACUGAGGAGGAGGAAGAGGCGGAAGGGUGGAAUUUACAGGAAGCAUUAAUUAAGGAGUUUGGAGAAUUUGAUGAAUUUACAGGAAGCCCGUCUUAGACUCCUCCGUUAGUUCACAAGUCAGGGGUAAAAUAGGCACGAGGGUCAAACGACAAAAUCAAACAGCCAUAAGUGCCACCUCCUGCACAUAUCCACGCAAUCAGCACGUUACCAUUUCGAAUUGAAAUUCCAAGUUAACCCACCUACUGAACGUGUUAAUAGGAGACCAAAACCCUGUUCAUAAAACUUCGUUCACACUUUGAUUAAUUACCGUACGCGUUGACUUCUGGGCAAGAGGUGUCUCCAAGGGUGUCAGAUAAAUAAAAAUCUCAAAGUAGUGCAGCAGCUCUACUUGAGACUAACAGAGACCUCCUAAAAAAGGAGAAAGACAGAUCAGAGGUUUCUUGUGCACCGAUAUUGAGAAAUGACUUUGCAUUUGCACCACGAAGAUCCACUAUACAAAGUAAUCAUAUUCCAUCAACAAAGACAAAAAAUCUCUGUACAACAUUCCUCAUGCCAUCAUCUGGCAACUGCUUAACUUCUAUCGAUUUUGCUGAGAAACAAUUUGCCUACGAAAGUGUCGGAGCCUCACCAGCUAACUCGUCAUCCAACCAUUCCGCUGCGACUCCAUGAUGUAAAACAAUAGUUGCAAAGAGAGGCCUCAACUAAUAAGUUUCCUUAGCCUCUUUUCAGCCGGAUUAGCUGCCUUAUUUUGCGGUUCCAGGACGAGAGCAUGCUUGAAAUCUUCAGCCCCAAACAGAAGAGAGAAGAAAUAAGAUUGUUAAGUAAUCUGGUCCAUGGUUCCUUACAACACAGUAUUUUUUUUUUCUUUUUUCAAAGGCAACUUAGAACAUAUAGUUAUGGAACCUAAAUCCCACCAACACAUUCCAGUCUGUGCCAGCAUGCAUGUUGGAUUAACUGUACGCUAAAUUACUUAAAAACUCAGUGGUACAUCAAAUCUGCUAGUUACCUUAUCCAUUUAUGGUUUCCAAACUAACAUUUUGGCCCCCUUGUAUUUUGGCCUCACGUUAACUGAAAAGUUUUUCUGUUAAUAGUUUAAGAAUCAAAAUAUUAAAAACCAGAAAAUCAUAUGAUUGUUCUAUAGUCAAAACUCUUUUCAGUAACAGCAAUUCCUUAGUUUCAUUUUUCUUUUCUACCCAUUUUCUCUUUUAUCCCGUCUGCAGAUAUACAGCCGUCAUACAUGUCAGAAAUGUCAUUGCAGCCUAUCCAUUGAGUACACUUUUAUUAGUGAUCAAUGCAUUGAUCAGUUUUAUCUAUAAAUAUUUCGAUUGCUCAAGAAACAAACUUCUUGACAGUACAGCUAUUAGGCAAACAAUUUUAGACAGGCAACUCCAAAAGAAAGUAUAGUCUCACCUAGAAGAGCUUCUUUAUAGCAAAGAAGUGAUUCCCUAGCUGUUCCUCGUCUUAAAUACGCCUUCACAUUCUGCGUAAUGAGACAGAAAGCAUUAAUACUAGAAUUUAGAUAUUCUUAUGGUCUUGGUGACAUUAACCUCCAUGUGCGAACAAAUAAAAAAUUGAAAACCUGGCACAGCCAAUUCAGCAGACUUUGGCCACUCCAAGGUCUAAGAAUAGCUACAAUUCAUAAAAGUCUAUUUACAUCUGCAACUAGUCUACACGUUAGAAUAACCAGACCAAUAAACCCUACACUAGUACAACAUGAGCUAGCAGCUAAACUUCAAAAUCAUGUCAACACAUGGAGACAAAAAAAAAUCUGUUUAUUUAGUGCAUUCUUGAAACCCUAGAGAAUCAGUCUAGUUCACAAGAUAUGGCCAAGCAAAUCAACAUGAUACUACAAUUUCUUACUUUAUACUGCUCAAACAAAAAUAAUUUUUGUCAGCCUAAAUUACUAAGAACAGAGCCGAUAAUUGAGAAAAUAUAUUGAAAGAAUUUACCAAAAACAGACAUAGACACUAGAGAGUAUAUUUUGCGAGCUCAGCCACUUUCAGCAAUGGCCUACACUAGUAGGACAAUAGCAAGGAAGACUAUACAAAGCAAAAGCAACUCUCAAAGCUCAUCACGUGAGACUGCAUCUUGUGCAACUCUCUUUCUCUCUUUAGUUUCAUAUAACUGGUAAUUACUUAUGAGUCCUCACCCUAUGCUGUCCUCCUUGAGAUAUGAAGGGCAAACACUAAACAGUAGCACCUUUACAAUGACAUGGUACAACAAACUAAUAAGGUCUUUUCACCUUCUUAUCAAGAGAUAUUGCGCUAGUGCAGUCCUCCUCAGCUUGUUGAAAGCUGCAAGAGAUCAAUCAUUCCAAUUAAUAUAAAAUCAAGAACUAAAACAGUUACUACCAGAAAACAUUAUCCAGAGGAUAAAUCCUACCAUCCUAAUUCCAGAAAUGCAGCUGCCCUAUUGCAAUAGUAAGUAGCAAUUUUAUCAUUCAACCCAAUUGCUUCGGUGUAGUAGCUUACAGCUUUAUUCCACUGCUUUCCCUUAUAUGCCGCAUUUCCCUGUAGCACAAUUAAUCAGCACUUCUCACAAAGACAAAGACAAGAAUAGGACGAGGCUAUCAUGACACAACAGAUGAACUUCAGGAAAUCAAAAGAACAACUUUUAGAAGGCUCAACUAAUAAUGGAAUAAUGUUGAACACUAAUUAGAAUACUCAAACAUAGACACCAUCACUGAAUUCUUCUAUCAAGGUCGACAGUCCUCUAAUCAGGUCCCAUUAUAAGCUGUUAUCCUGAAAUCUAAAAGUGGCAAAACAUGGAGGGACAGUUUGUUGCAGAAAUAUUUUUCUGCUUACAAAAGUGACCAGGAAUCCUUCCUCUCCUCCUUCACGUGUCCAAGAGAAAUUCCCUUUAACUGAGAUUAAUUGCUAAAAUUACAAACAGCCUCAGCAUUCUACUGACAAAUUUCACAAAAGAGCCUCAGCAUUCAACCAGUUCUAAAGUAAUGCAUAACUCUGGACAACAAAGUCCAAGUUACAAUGUGAGUCUACCUCAAAAAGACAAAGAUCAUACCUAAAGUGGGAAACUUAAAACUCAGCACCCAAUGUAACACAAAGAUUCUAUUUAAGUUAGACUACAAAACAAGAGUACCCCAUGAAAUCAAUAGAUUCUUUAACUCAAAAUUAAAACCUGAAACAUAAACUUCACAUUACACCUAUUCAUUUCCCAUUCUAUCCUUGAUUGACAUCAAAGUUCCAACAAUGGCAGCAAUAUUCCACAGCUUCCAUUAGAAAGAAAGCAUUUGAGACAUCAAUGGAAGAAAAGAUAACGGUACAGCUCCAACAGAAGUAUACCUUUUCCUUCAAUAGUUCAGAUGUUUCCAUGUUGCCAUUGAUAUCAGGCAGCGGUGGAGAAUUUGAAACAGUACUAACUUCAUCUUGAAGAGAAGAAUACAUAUCGACAAUGGUAUCAAGCAGAAAUUUGUCUGCUCCAUGGGAUGCAAUAAAUGACACAGAUACUGGAUAAUCAUCAUGCUCCCCAAAAGGAACAGAGACCUGGAUAUUUACAAACAAGAUAGAAUAAAAAACCAAUAAAAUGGCAAGGAACUGAAUUGAGAACACUAAAAUCUGCAAGACAUGUAUACCUGACAGCAGCCAGACAUACUCGCAAUGCUUGAUAAAGCAAAUGUUCUAUCCAGGAACUCAGAAAAUGCACCUUUCUUUAUGUUAAGUUUCAACGGCGGGUCUGCAACUGUUGGAAUUACUAAUAUGCCGUCAUCCUAAAGAUAAAAAUACAAAAAAAAAAGAGAGACCGGGAAAAGGUAAAUAAAACACAUACUACAGAAGAGAGGAGGCAAAAACAAGGUCAAAUAUAUAAGUAAAGAAUAACUAAUUUCAGAAGAAACCAAAAAAGUUAAGGUCAAAACCAUUCAAAACAUUUGAUGUUGUCUUCAAUUUAAAAAGAAGGUCAAAAUUCCAUGUUCUCUCUCUUUUGACUGUUUGCCGACAAUAAAGACAAACUUGCCCAAGCCACGAUAUCCAAUAGGAGAAUUCUUCAAAAGCACGUGAACACUAGAAUUAUGCAACUCCAUAGAAUAGGCAUACCACAAUAAUGCAAUUGAACAUGAUACAGUAUUAGCUAAAGGUUCUUCCUACUGCCCAACCCCCAGCCUUCUCCCCAAAGAACAAGGCUGCCGAAAAAGAGUAGUAAGUAAUGACAGCAGUAUUUGGAGACAAAAUUUAGAAUACCUUCAAAAGAGCUUGAAGAGCAGUUCGCAUUUCACUCCUUAUUUUGUAAAGAAUUUUGAUGUUCUCAGGUGUAGUAUUAAUUGCUGCUAGAACACCAUCAGAGACACGAGGUCCCAAUCUGGGUUUAACUGAAACAAACCAUUCCUCAUGAUUUGUCCUAAACUCGUAUCUGUGCAGCAGUAAAAUAACAGAUGUCAACCAGAAUAGAAUCAAAGCCUCCAAAGUCAAGGUACCAUCAAAUGUGUGAAGCUAUGUUACACAGGACUUCUAAGAGCAAAAAUGAAAAUGUCUUCCCACUACAUGAGUCACAACAGUCCUUCAAGUGGCCAAAUUAGUAACUAGAUAGAAGACAAUUUCUUUGGUUCCACUACUGAAGAAUGACCUUCAGAUAAGCAUUUUAACUAACAUGCAGACAUUCAAGCUUUAUAUUGUUGUAAUAAAGUUUGAGAAAGGAAAAAUUAAAGUAGAAAUUUCCAUUAAAACAUCCUCUUGAUAUGUUGGAUACAUAAGUAAGUUUAUAAAGGACUUCCAUUUUCCCAAAGUUAAAAACAUGACAUGUAAAAGAUACUUUGCAUUUAUUGCCAUCUCUUCCAUUAGAACUAUAAACUUCCAACUCUUCAAGUUCAAACUAUUAAACAAGUAAAUAAAAACCAUUCAAACACAGUUCUGAAGUACCUCUGCAGUAUAGACAUGACAGAAGCAAGAGCUUUCACAUUAGAUAUCAAGGUCUCGUUUUUCAAUUCUUCAUCAAAUCCUUUUAAACUGGGCACAUUUGAAGAAAUAUACUGCCCAAAUUUUAUAUGGUUCGCUGUUUGGUCUGCACCAUCAAUGAAAGUUAGAGAGUAUAUAUCUUAGUAAAAAUGUCAGUUGCUCUGGCAAAAGUACUCCAAUCCAAUAAUGAAAACCACUGAUACGGUAUCAUGUAAGACAAUACCAAUAAUCAACCUUCAUUAGGAGAAAUCGCAAGUCAACUUUCACAUGGGAAAGAAAGGCGCAACUUACAGCCAGAUAAUUUCCCUGUGACUCGCUUGAAAACAUCUAUAGUCUUCCACUUGGGAACUUUAGAAAGCUGAAAGAGAUCAUCAGCUAUCAAAAGGCGCCUUGUCUUUCGAGUUUCCAAUGGAUUUAACUGAAGCAGAACAUGUCCAACAUGACGCAACGUAGAGGGGUCACGGGCAAACCACCCUAUAAAAGUAUUAAGCAGAUGAUAAAAAAAAAUGCCAUAUAAGAACACCAAUAAAAUGAAAAGGAUCCAUAACAAUCAAGCCAAAACAACAAUUUUUGCAAUGCAUGUACUAGUUCAUUAUCUAGUUUUUGGAGGGUAGGAGACUGGACAUUGCGAGAUGAUAGUGAUAUACAUAUGCAACAGUUGAGCAUUUGAUGUUAUUCCCAGUACUAGCUGCUCAUUGAUAUUGACCAUUGACACAUGAUAUCAUUUCAAGUCCUAACCACCCUUUGAAAUAGACCAUCAAAUCCAUCACAGAUGGUCACCAAUAUUUAACAGGCAAAUGUCAAAUGAGCUGUCAGUUUGGAACCAAACUCAACUUACAAGAGUUUUAAGAUGAGCAGAGUUCAAUUGGCUAAUCAAUGAAGUAACUAGAUGACCUGUAUUACAUACCAACAGUGUCUAAACUUUGAGAAUUUGGUAGAACACCAACUAGAGAUACAAUCCCGUGCGACGGUCUAAAUCCAAGUAUACCACAACAUGACGCUGGAAUUCUUAUACAUCCAAUUGUAUCAGUACCUGCAUCGCUUGAAAUAUGUCAGGUUACAGGGUCAGAUAUGAAUUCACUUUUCAAGUGUUUACAGAAAAAUACAGUCGUCAUUUGUGACAUACAAAACAAAUGGAUUCAGUAAAAAGUGAAAGAAGUUCUAAACCAAUAGCACUUUCAUAUACAAAAGUUACAGGUUCCACAGACGAAGGUCAACAAAGCAAAAAGAACCCAACUCCAUAAAUCUUAUGAAAAUAGUGAGACACAAAUGUUGUAAAACUCAGGCUUAAAGUCACUCCAGAAGCCUUAUCAAAAUAAUGAGCCAAUAGAGCAACAAUGUGACUCGUGUUUAUUUACAGGAACAUCAAUCCACGAUUCCAUGUGAGCAGAAUGCGUACCGAUAGCAAAAUCCACAAGCUUGGCAGCAACAGCAACAGCUGAACCACUACUUGAACCCCCAGGUAUAUGGGAUGGCAAGUUUGGAUUAGUUGGAGUUCCAUAAUGAGAAUUUUCCCCUGUUAUCCUGACACCACAAUCCACAAAAAUAUUGAUAGAUAAGCAUAUGAAUGACUUUUCAAAUACCAUAGUCCCGUCAAAUCAAAUAUUUUCCCUGGAGUCCAAACAAAUAAAAGUUAAUAUCUUGCCUAUAAAUUAUGCAGAAUUCUGCUUAACUAUGACAGACGAAUUAAAAUUUAUAAGUUGGCUCUAACUAUUAGUGAUCAUUUCUACGUACAGACGUAUCUUAACAAUAGAAUUUUGUGACGAACUACAAAGUUGUUCACAUGCAAUUGAAAGCAGAGCAUGUACAACAUCAAAAGGCAACAAAGUUUAUCUUUUUGACAAAUCUUCUAGGUUGUCGCGUCCCUAAAAAUAAUACAAAAGUUAGACCCGUUGGACUAGAAGCUUUUCCAUAAAUUAUGAUUAACUGCUGAUCUAAAUUCAAGAAAGGUUAAGGGACCAAAAGGCCAUAAUGAAGGCCAACAGAUAUUAUAUCUCUACAGCAACAAUAACAGAGGAGAAAGAGAAAGAUACCCAAAGCCAAAUUCAUCCAUGAUUGUCUUUCCAACACAAGUAGCCCCACUUUUCAAGAGAGCCGUCACCACCACCGCAGUCUUGGCCGCCACCUCAUGAGUCUUCUUCCAGUCCACACUCCCAAACCCCGUCACAAAACCCUUUACAUCAAUUCUACCAAAAAUCAUUCAUGGAAAAAGAGAGAACGAGUAAGCUAUAGAAGUUAGGAGCAGGAUAUGAUGAAAAUCAUAUGAUCAAAGAAAGAAGUGCUUACAUGUCUUUAAUGGCGAAAGUGAGGCCGGAGAGGGGGAGUCGAGCGGCGGGAGGAGGAGGUUGAGGAAAUGGAGAAAGCUCGAAGCGCUCGACAAAGGAGCCGAAGUCUUCUUUGAUUGCAUUUCGGGAUUUCAGACGGCGGCGGCGAGUCUCAGCGAGAACAAUGAUGCCGGCAACGCCUACGCCGAUCAAGAUCCAGACUUUAGGGUUUGAGACAUUGAGCUUUGAUGAACUUGACAUGAUGAUGAUGGGUUGUUCUUGAUUGAUCGACGAACUGAUUGAAAUUUGAGGGUUUUACAAGGGUUUUAGCUACUUUUUCCUUGCCUUCCUUGGAAGAAGAGUUGUAUGACUCAUUUAGUCACAAGGGGUUUUCUCCUUCUUCCACCUUUUUUUUUUUUUGUGGGGGGGGGGGGGGGGGGCGGGGGGGGGGGCGGAUAUGCAAGGAACUGAGAGCGUGUCAUCACGCGCAAAAGUUUGUCUUUACUCGCAAGAAAGAUAUCAUGCCCCUCCAGAGAAAAAAAAAAAAGAAAGAAAAUUAUAUUGAUACACAUCAUUACUAUAGCACAAAAUUUCUUACGUGUGUGAAGAAUUCAAAAUGUGUAUAAAUAGUAGUAGGAUAAUUUUUUUAUACACCGCGAGUGUAAUAAAUUCAAAUUAUGUCACAUACUAUAUCAAUUUAAAUUUCAAAUUCAAAUAAAAAACAUGUGACAUACAUCUAAAUUUGUCAGUGUAAAAAAAUUACUGUACUAUCUGUGCAUAAAAAGUUAAUCCAUAAUAGUAUUGCUUAAAAGAAAAAAAAAACUAUCGGAUUUACUACUAACCCGCUGAGAUUUGAAAAGCUAUUCCCACUUGCAAGAUUGAGUAAGCCCAAAUUUGAUGGGAUUAUGUAACAUGAGUUAUGAUUCGCAUUACAUUACUACUUUCGACUCCAAAAUCGUUAUUAUGUUGUCAUAUUCAUAUUUAAACCCUAUUUGAUAACUACUUUCAACUCCAAAACCGUAAUUAUGUUGUCAUAUUCAUGUUUGAUAACUCAAGUCAACAUUUAAACUUCUACGCGGUUGAGUUCAAUAAGACCGGAUCGCCUUGUGCAAAGUCGGCGCAUGCUCGAGGCAAUAAAACACUACAAGAAUUACCUAAUCAACACAACGUAUCCUCCUCUGUGAGCAAGAAAACAAGAAAUUUAGUAAAUGCCCCCAUGUAAAAGUAAAGUAAGCCCCCACGUAUUAACGUAAGAGGCAAUCAAAGUUAACGAGCAAUCUUCAGGGUCGGAAUGCUUUUUAUUUUGAUGUCGCCCCAGGUUACAUUAUUGUACCACCUUUCCUCCGCUUAUCUCGGUCUUCAAACUUCACUUUGCCCUAAAUGCCAAGUAAAUUGUGGAAUGCUUCAGAGGGGCCGUCAGAAAAAUGCUCUGCAUUUGCUUCAGAGGGGCCAACCAAACACCAACUUGAUCAAGACACCCUUCAACUAUAUCUCUAUACCUUGACUUGUCAACAAAUACCAAUUUCCAGCUUCAUUAUUACAAGAACUACUGGCUGUCAAACAACUCAGCUCCGAAGCCUCGUGUAAAUUACAGAAAAAUGCUUCUAUGAAUCUACAAAUGGGAAGAAUCAAGCUCUAACAAACCGCACAACACGAAUAUAGAAACUUAAAAUACUACAGAUGGUGUGGAGUGGGGUUUAUAACCUAUAUCAAAUCAGAUUCCCCUGUUCCUCCCUCCCCCCAAACUUCCGACUUGUAUACAUAUGAAAAACAUUAACGGAUAUCUUAUCGCGGUUUCACCCCAUAAAUCGCACAACAAUGCAGGAGAUAUCAUCUUUGCUUUCUCUAUGUAAUGCUUCCAUCACUAGUUGUUUUGCUCCCUUCUGUGGGUCCUUUAUCUUCCGUGCAAUGUCAACUGCCUCCUGAUUAGACAUCACCUGGAGUAUUCACAGGCUAGGAUUCAGUAUAACUAAUCAUUUAAAUCCAUGAAAACAGGGGGCAGAGAGAGACGCACCUUCCAUAGACCAUCACUUGCAAGGAUGAGUACAUCUGUCUCUGCCUCAAUGCUGGCAUUUGUGACAUCAGGAUCUGAUCGGAGGUGUGAUUUCAGGUUCUUGUCUCCAAAAGCACGGGAUACAGCCAGUUGACCGUUCACUCGUGCAACAUCCCCUGAUACAGAAUCCAAUUAAGCUUUACACUUUAGUGAAAAAAUAGCAACAGAUUCCAUCACUACCAUCCAAGAACCAUAUUAUGCAUUGCUCCUUAUCAAGAUCGAAAAGUUAUAGAAAAAGCAGUAGUAACGAUCGAUACUCACUUUGGAUUAAGUGAUGCCGUUACAGUUGAAUAGUUGCAAGGUGCAGAAAUGAUAAAAUGUACUUAUCCAUUUAAUCUUUCUCAAGAAAAGAAAUGAAUAACCAAGAAGGACCCAGAAAAUAAGACCUGUAACUUCCCAGCUACUUGUAAAAAUAGACAUUGAGUAUGAAAUAGAUUUAAAAAUUGAGUAUGUAAAAUUACCGUGAACUUCAUGCAAAACAGAAAGAGAAUAGUCCACAAUAAUCAUAUGAUAGACAAGCCAACAGUGCAGUGAAUACGGACAAACCUCCUUUAAGAUAUUAGAAAACAAAUGCUUCUGUAAAUAGGCAGGUACGCUGUCACCCAAAUGCCCAUCAAAAAUAGCAAAGAGUCCAAGCUCUCGUCCUUGAAUCUGAACAAAUUUAGCAACAUGGUAAUCUUCCAUAGGAUGAUUUGCUCUCCCCUUUACCAGGCUAAACCCAUAUUUGACAGGACCCAGCUGACUUCUUCCCUUGCCAGAGCCACAUGAAGAGCGUCCUCCAGCCUGAUAAAGGGAAGGAAAAUUUAAACUUCAAGAGCAACAGAAAAUGCACCUGAGACAAUUUGCUAAAACAAAAAAGAUAAAUGCUUUACUAUGUCAAAUCCUUGAUAUUGACCCUCUAAAAUAUAAUUUCUUUAACUCCAAUAAUUUUAAUCCAGAUUUUCAAUGACAGUGGUAUCCUAUACUACAGCAGUUAUGAAUAUAACGAAAGGUAAUCAUUCUCCAGAAGGAAGCAAAAUAAAGCGUACAACAACUGCUAUAGAAACUAAAAUUCCUCGUGUGGAUGAAAUGCUGUAACAACCUCACUACUACCAUCCAACAGCAAACAUCCGAACAUAAUAGAGAACCUACUCAAGACAAUCAUGACAAACCCCAACUCAAGUUGAAAUAAGACCCAAAAUUACAGCCAAGCUGCAUGUUGUCACUCCACAGACAGAGGAGAUGCAGAUUUCUCCAUCUCAAAAGAAGCCAUGGACCAAAUAAUUAGCUUAGUUUUUUAACUCAUAAUGAUGCAGAAAACCUCCCACAGUUCAUAGCAUCAAAACACCAAUCAAUCAUCGAAUCCACCAGAAUUAAGCAGCAUAUUAACAGUAGAUUCACAAGUAUAAAGUCAAAGUUACUAGAUCAGUUCCUUCAGAUAAGGAAAACAAAUGGAUCAGUUUUCCAAUAUUUUUUUAAAAUUAGCUUUCCGAUAGUUAGCGAAGAACCGAUACAAGAAUAAUAAUAAUUCAAACAAUCUGUACAACAAAGAAAGAAAUCCAAAUGGAGAAGCAGCUGGGACAAGCUCACCUGGGAACUGAAGCAGCAAAAGUUAUCCAUAUAAUUCAGCCCCACCUCACCCUUCUCCUCGACAAAUUAACAUCUAACCUCCAAUUCCGAAGCCUUUAUUUUCACAACCUGUCGGAGAGCAAAGAAAGAACUUUGAUGAUCAUCAAAUAAACACCACCGCUAACGGUAAAAUCUCAAUCAAGAACCAAUCUUUCUUCAAAAAUCCACCAAAAAAAUAACAUAAAAUUAUCAUAUAAGUAACAUCAAAAAGUUCCACUUACCGAUCCGCCAACUUCAAAAUUUCCCCUGAAAACGCAAGAAAGAUCCUAUCUUUGUGUACGACUUGACCAGUCCGCUGACCAGAAACCCUGUAACGAGUCGAUAUAUAUGCCUGUAAAAAAAAUUUCCGACCAAAAAAUUGAAAAGAAACAGUUGGAAUUUCAGUAAAGAGCUGGCAAUAGUUUUAUGGGUUUCUGUUGUUGAGGGAAAGGGUCUUGGGUUUGCUAAGAAGGCAAGAUUGGCUGCCAAAGAGACCAAAGCUUAAGCUUUGGCCUUCCCUUAUUGACUUUUGUAGUCUUUAUUGUUUCUUUAUUAUUGCGGCUAGUGUUUUGCAAUUGUAAUAAUGCAGCGAUGCAGGAGUAAUUGUUACAAAGAGUCAAAGAGUAAUGGUUACAAAGAGUCAGAGUCACUGUUUGUUCAUUUGAUUCGUGAACACGUACAGCUGUUUCAGUUUUUCCUUCUCUUGUGGGUCUACAACUUCCUGCAAAAGUUUGCAAUCAAGUGCUCAUCUGGUCCAUUUGUUGGCCUAUUCUCUAUUUUUGGUGGUCAGCCCUAUACCCUUUUUUUCUCGACUUUUUUAAAUUAAGUGCGAGGUGUUGAGCCCCUAUUGCCAUGCCCUCCUACUUAUAAGAAUGGCAAUUGAUAAGGUAAAAUUCAAUACAUGCGGGUAUUAAAUCCGAUGGUUAAUUCAAUUAAAUAACCGAUAGGUAAUUAAUUAGAGUUUAAUAAGAAAAUUCUAAAGAAUUCGAGAUCCGACACACACACACAUAUAUAUUAAUGAUUAUUAAUUAACUCUCAAAUCCUCUUUCUUAUCAUCCCUCAAAUCCUCAAACUCUUAAUUCUAAUCAUUUUAAAAUUUAACGUAAUAAUGUAUUGAUUUAAUAUGAUGUAUGCAUUAAUUUUAGUUUAAUAAUAAUUAAUUACCUUUUUUUAAAACUAUUCAAAUUAGGGGCAGAGAGUACUCAAUAAAUGCUCCGAGAUUGAGAGUUUAGUAACGGAAGUUAAAACCUAUAAGAUUAUUCGAUAGGAUUUGAUGGAAAAAAAAAACUUAAAUAUGCGAGUUAGAAUUCGAUAAGAAAGAUUUUUAAGAGUACCCAACCCACUACUUGCUCUGAAGUCAAAAUGUGUGCAGAAGAAAAUUAACAAAGCACCAAUCAGCGCUGCAAUCCUACCUGCAUACAAUUCCUCCCCACCAUCACCCAACCCAACUUAAAUAACCAUUGCCCUGUUUCUACUUUUCAUUCAUUUUUUAUUCUUUCAGCCAUUCUUGAUUAGGCAUCAGCCACUAGCAAGAGAAUUUUCCAAUCCCCCAUGAUGGAUUACUUUUCUCCUGUUUGAUCUUUUCUAUAUUCCUUGCCUUUUAUCUCCUUAGCAUGUUUACAUAAUGUGGCGAAAAUCAGUCGUGAAGACCUCCCUCGCAUACCCUGUGAUGAUGCAACUUUGCAUGCGAUGAGCUUCUGGCUUUGUCUAAAAGAUGUGGAGCUCAACUCAUCCAAAAUAAGUUGCUUUUUCAUUUGUUUCAUAACUCAAACGGAUUUAAUCAUCUCAAACGUAGUCAAACCAACAUCUCUUGAAAAGUUAAAUACUUGAGUUUUGUUGUUUUCAUGAACUGUAUACAAUUCAAAGGCAUACCUACCAACUCAUGUACCAGAGCCAUCUGGGAGACAAGCUGCGAAUUUCAGAUUAGGAAGAGAUGUUUUUCUACCCUUGAAAUGCCUGUGGCAGAGUACCUUUACCAUUAUUAAAUGAAGACCAAAAAGCCAAAACAGACUGAGUACUUCAUGUUAGUCUAAUGUUGUUGUGUUUAAAAUGAAAAAAAAAAAAAGGUCAAAAGUAUCUGCGGUGUUUUCAUCCAAACCACGGAUUAGAUUAAUAUAUACUCUAGUUCAAUUGGGCAAUUAAAAAUUAGAGGCAAAGAGGGUCAACUGUACAGCACCAAAUAAGCUACAUUGCCAAAUAUCCAAAGGUGAUUAGUGAACAUCAAGUUGUUUGGUUAUGGCUGUUAUAAUUCGAGGAUGGAAUUGUUAAAAUACUCACUCAAGUUGUUCGACAAUUUGGAAUUGAUUCAGCAGCCUAUUUAUUUAAUAACAAGAAUAAUAAAAGAAAAGGAAAAGACAUUGCAAGAAAUGAAAGUUUAGGAUUCCGCUAGAGAAGCAGCUGAUGGGGUUGGCACUAGUAAGGUUUCAUUGGGGAUUUGUUUUUGAUGCAAAUAGAUGCGAAUGUCAGGUCUUGAUGUACACUGACAUGUAAAAUGAUACUCCAUGUAAUCUUUAUGAAUACCUCAUUGUAUCUGUCAAUGUCGUCUUCUGGAGUCAAAGCUGAAUCGGGCUAUUCCCAAACUCAGGCAUCUAACCUUAACUUGAGCGAAGAUCGAGCAAUUCACUGUCCGAACUAGGAUCAGGGGAUUUUUUUUUCUGUCAAUCGAUAACUACUAUACUAUUCUUACUUCUAUUCUAAUUCAUAUCUAAGAAAGGGCCAAACUGGAUCAAAAGGAGUUUAAGAGUGAAUAGUUUCGUCUCUAGAUAAAGGGGUAUACCAUUACACAUCUUUGAAUUUCACUGCAGCAGCAGUCAGGUUUAAACUUCAAGUUUCACUUGGUAACCGCACUCACCUAAGGUGAAUUGGCUAGGGUCGAUUGAUUUCUUGACCAAAUUAGCAAGGCAAGAUGCAGAAGGGAGUGAUUUUUAUUACCAUUGUCUAAGUUGCAGAAGGGAGUGUUUCAAAAAAAAAAAAAAAAAAAUUGCAGAAGGGAGGCCUGGGCGAGACAGAGGCAGUGAAAUCAAGAAACGGGGCGGGAGGAUGAGCUAUUUGCGAUUUGUCGCAUUUCAGCAGUCCUCGUGCGCUUACUGCCGCAUUUCAAUGUAAUAAUGUACCCUGCCCCUGUGGCCUGUACCGAACCACCCGAGUCUGAGGCUGGAGCUGGACCUCUCGCCUCUCGGGCGGCGAGCAGGAAACUACCCCAUUUGGCCAGAAAAUUACGUUGUUUCCGUAAUUACAUUUUUCUAUUAUCUUGUUUCCUCAUAUAUAUCAAAUCGCUGCAGUAAUUUUUCUACAAAAAAAUCUUAGAAAAUGCAAUCCAAACAAGGCGUUUUUAAAUUCGGAUCGGAUCGACCGGUCCGAUCGGUCGAACCGAAAAUCGACCAAAACUUCGAUUAAAUCAAGUUAAAAUUCGGGUUUGAUCGGAAAAAAAUCGGAAGAACCGUGGUGUUAAAGCUUUUUUUUUUAAAAAGUUCAAAGCAUUUUCAAUAUUAUGUUUUAACCCCUAGGUUGUAAAAAAUUAUUAAUAUACCUCAAAUAUUGCUUACAUUAUAAAUAUUGAUCUAAAAGUUUGGUGUUAUUUUUCAAUCAAGUCCAUAAUUUUCAAUUCUAAACUUGUUAAUGUUUAUUGAAUAAUAUAAAUUGCUACUUGAUCAUUCUAAUUUCUUUAUAUUUUCUUGUUAAAUAUAUUUAAAAUAUCAAAUAUAUAUGAAUAUACCUUUAUUAUUAUUAACAUACUUUUAGAUAUUUUACAUACGAUAUUUUAAUUUUUAAAUAAUUUUUAUUUAUGAUAAUUCAAUUCCGAUUGAAUUCAUUAAUCUCUGACCCUUGAAUUCGAUCGAGUCGAUACUCGGUCCGAUCCUAAAUACAUAGGCAGGAAAGGAAAGUGGCCCCCGGGGACUGGGGAGGGAGUUUAUACAGUUUUACUAAGGGGGCGUUUGGUAAGAGGGUAUCGGAUUCGGGGAAUGGAAUGAACCCCAUAAAUGGUGUUUGGUUCACUGGAAUGGGAAUUGAAAUCUUGGAAUGAUUUCUAAAAAUUUGGUGUUUCUCCAUUCCCAAGUAUUUUGGUGGGUUUUGUCCGAUUCCCAAGUUUGAUUCCAAGAAACAAAUCCAAUUACAUAUUAUAAUUAUACAAUGAUAUAAUUAAUAUUUAUAUUUAUUAUAUUUAUUAUAUAUUAUAAUAUAUACAUAUAUAUUAUAUAUUAUAUAUUAUAAUUAUAAUAUUAGUACAUUAUAUAAAUAUAUAUUAUAAUUAUUUAGUUAAAUAUAAUUAUAUUUAUAUAAUAUAUAUUAUAAAUUUAUUAAUAUUAUGUAAUAAUAUAUUUAUAAUAUAUAUGUAUAUUUAUAAAUGCAUAUUAUAUGUGCAUAUGAUUAUAAUAUACACAUGUAUAUAAUAUUAAUAAAUUUUAUAUUUAUAUUUAUAUUUAUAUUUAUUAUUUUAAAUACAAUAAUAUAUAAUAAUUACUAUAUCUAAUAUUAAUAUGCAUUAUACUUAUAUAAAAUAUGAGUACAAUUAAUAUUUAUAUAUUAUAUAAUUAUAAUUAUAUAUUUAUUUUAUAACGUUUGUAUAAUUAUAAUUAAUUAUAUAUAUAAUAUUUAAUUUAAUUAGUUACAAACUUAUAAUAAUGAUGUUAUUGUAUUAUAUAAUUAUACAUUAUAAUUAUUUAGUUAAAUAUAAUAAUACUUAUAUAAUAUAUAUUAUAAAUUUAUUAAUAUUAUAUAAUAUUAUAUUUAUAAUAUAUAUGUAUAUUUAUAAAUGUAUGUUAUAUGUGCAUAUAAUUAUAAUAUAUACAUGUAUGUAAUAUUAAUAAGUUAUAUAAUUAUAAUAAUUAUUAUUUUAAAUAUAAUAAUAUAUAAUAAUAACUAUAUUUAAUAUGUAAUAUAUAUUAUAUUUAUAUAAAAUAUUUGUAUAAUUAAUAUUUGUAUAUAUUAUAUAAUUAUAUAUUUAUAUUUAAUUAUAUAUAUAAUAUUUAAUAUAAUUAGUUACAAACUUAUAAUGAUAAUAUUAUUAUCUAAAUUUACUAAUACAUUUAUACUAAUAUAUUUAAUUAGUGAAAAUUUCUUAUAUCUCAUUUACAAAGAGUCAAUAAUUAUCAUUUACGAUGUGGUUUAUAAUAUAUUUAUUAUAUUCCAUUCCGAAAGAGUUGACGAACCAAACAUCAACUAUAGUAAUGAUACACAUUCCAGGUACUUGAACCAAACAAAUAUAUUGGAAUGAAUGACCUCAUUCCAAACCCAAGAUAUCCGAUUCCGAAUCCGAAUCCGAUUCCGAUGUGCGAACCAAACGCCACCUGACACUUUUACCUAAGACCAUUGCGAAAUCGGCGUAAUAAGUGGGGCCACCACUCUAGGUCAACAGAGGCUUUGCCAUCACCCGUGUUACACCUUCGCUCCCCACGUGUACACCACGUUUGACCUCCACUUGUCUUUUCCUUGUUUUCUCGGACUGAAUAUUAAUGAAUACUAUACUACUACUACCUGUCAAGUUCGUUCUUUUUUUCAUCAGAAUCUUUGCGCGAAUUACUGCAAAUUGAUGUGCGUUUAUCUCUUCGUUUGAUAGAUUCCAUCAAUGCUGAAAUCCAACAGCUUUGUGUCUGGAGAGGCAAAGGAUUAUUAUAGCGGAGGAGGAGGAGGAGAACUAAUUGACCUUUUUGAUUGGUGGAAUGAAAUUCAAGAGUCGGAAAAAUGGCAGCGGGGAGUAUAUUACACUCUUUCUGCGUCUUAUGCAUUGGUUUCCUUGGUUGCACUGGUAAGACUGAUAAUAACAUUCUUUCUAAUAACAAUUUAAACAUAAGUCUAUGGUUUCAAUUGCAUUUCUUGAAUAUGGCAGGCACUCGGGGGGUCCGAGAUAAUUUUUUGCUUCCUUUCUUCCGUUGUUGAAUGUGUAGCAGUUUAUGUUGCCCCUCUGUUUUCCCCUCUUCUGAUUUUAUGUUUGGUUGGAUUUUUCUGUUUUUCGAGACACUUAUUUGAGCCUGUGGAAUUCAGAUUUUUUUUCACUGUUGUCUAAACCAGGAAGCGGAUGAUUCCUGAAAGUUGAAAAGAAACAAAUUUUGGACUCAAAACAUGUAUUUGGUCUGGGAGAUGAUAUUCAACGACUCCCUCAUUUUGUUCUGUGGGUCUAGAAUUAGGCUGAAUUGUUGCUCGGUUGAUCUCCUAGUCAAGUGAUGAAUGAGUUGCUCUCGAAUCUGCAUUUUCCAUCUUCUGAAGUUUGAAAGUUUCUCUGUUUUCAGAUUUAGUUGUUACUCGAUUGCCAUUUCAUUCUUAAUUUGUUUCCAGGUGCAACUUAUUCGCAUUCAGUUAAGAGUACCUGAAUAUGGUUGGACAACACAAAAGGUUUUUCACCUGAUGAAUUUUAUUGUGACAGGAUGUAAGUUUUGCUUUUUCUUUCUACCUGGAAUCGCUUCUUGUUAAAUUUGUCUGACUCCUUAAACUUUAUUGAACUUUUGGCAGUGAGAGCCGUCCUGUUUGGAUUUUACAGAAACGUGUUUACCAUCAGAACGAAGGUAAUUGUUGUGCCCUUAAUUUCAGUUUGUUUCGUUUCUGUUUUGUAGUCCUGUCCACUGAGGCAUAAGCUUUUCAAGUAUAUUGUAAAAUUGGUUGAUGGUUAGGGCCCCUUCAGAUGAAAAUAUGAACAUGGUCAGGGGCCCUUCAGAUGAAAAUAUUUACAAGGACCUAGAUAAUCAAGCUUAAGUCUUUACCUGAAAGGAAACAAACCUUUUCUGGCGUAGGACUGUUAAUGAUUCAAAUGUUUCAUUCUUAUAAUGGACAUUCGUUGCAUCCGGUCUCUGAGUUUCAUUCUGUCCUACACUUCUAAUGCUUGUUCGUCUACUUUAGCAAGUAUGAACCACAAGUGAAAAACUGUGGCUCUUGAAAUCUUUUGAAAUUCUUACUCAAAGAAAAUGUGAUGAACAGGCACUUGAAUUGAUACUUUUGGAACUUCCAGGUCUGCUGUUUUUCUCAACAUAUACAUUACUUGUUCUGUUCUGGGCUGAAAUAUACUAUCAGGUACUUUUGCAACAGAUUCUUUACAUGGUUGUGAACCUACUCAAGCAAGUUACUGGCUGUACUUCUUUAUUAAUUUGCUUCAGGCAAGAAGUCUUCCCGUUGAUAAGUUUCGACCCACAUACUAUAUAAUUAAUGGUCUUAUCUACCUUCUCCAGGUAACAACAUCAAGUUUUGAUGUUACCACUGCCUUAAUUCAUGCUUUUUUUUUCCUGACUUUUGACUGUUCUAAUCAAUUGUAGAAAUGCUCUGGUGCUUUGUAGGUGUGCAUCUGGAUCUAUGCAAGAGUCAGCCAGACGACAACUGCAGUUCAAGUUGCUCGGCUCUUUUUUUCAGGUGAGUAUAUAUUUUCUUUUUUCCAGGUGAGUACAUAUUUUAUUUUGUUGAUUGCUGGAUUAUUUGUUUGCUGAUGCAUUUUUUAGGAUGUAACAUUUGACUUUUUACAGUUCUCUCUUUUUCUGCUGCUCUGGGAUUUUUGAUAUAUGGCGGAAGGUAAUUGCUUGCUUGACUGUAAAAUAUUGUCUUCAGCCUCAUUUAGUUAUCUAUCGGAGUACCCCCAAGAUUUUUAGCUUGCUUAGCUUUUCCUGUUUAGGUUAUUCAUCAUGCUGAGACGCUUUCCCAUACAAUCUCGAGGCCGUCAAAAGAAACUGCAGGAGGUUUUAGCUUGCAAUUUUGUGUUCUUUAUAGCGGCUAUUUACAAAAUGUUGCUACAUUUAUUCCAAAUUAAAUAAAUAUUGAUAGUUUUAUUUGGUUUCUCUUAAUAUAGAAGCCCGUUUCUUGAGAAUCCACUUUAGAGUUUAGAGUCAACCUCCAAGAUAUCAACUUUUCCCCUGCUUGCUUUUCUUUUCCAUCUUCUUUUUCAAUUCACACAACACUCGGCACCCAUUUGGUACGCAACAGAUCCACCUUAACUGAUCCUAAUAAUUCAGUAAUUAUUGACACCUAUGUUUACACGAAUAGUUUGGAAAACUUGGGGCCGUUCUUUGGACUUAAUGAUUGCAAAACAUACAAAAUGAGAAGUGAAUUCACAAGUGAAGUAACAUGGGGGCUAUUGGCAUAAACCAGCAGGUCCAAAGCCAUGAAUCAGGAUGAAAUAAUGUUUAUAGUUGAAAAGGAUUUUGGGUUUUGGACCCCAAAAGUGUAUUAUGUUUUGGUAGUCCGUGUUUGUCGUUUGAAAGAUUAAACUGGCUGUAAAGAUGCAUGUCGAAUCUUCAUAUGCUUUGGGAAGAUUGUGGCUUGAUGAUCUGUGGGGAUAUUGGUGUAAAUUGUGGAAGUAGGAGAGAAAUAAUAGUGACCCUUCUUUAUAGCGUCUCUUUUAUGGAUAAACUUCAAAUACGGCAAAAUGAAUGAGACUAUUUUAUUUAGACUUGCAAGGUUUGUGGUCUUGUUCUGCAUCUUAACUUAUUUUAGUGAUUGCAGUCUUGAGUUAUAUGCUAUGGUGAAGCAGUAGUUAGUUACCAAUGCAUUGCCUCUCUACCAGGGUGAAGUGAAUGUUGAUGCUUGACGAUUCUUCUUGGCAGGUUGGAUACGUGACAUGCAUUUGCUGCGCUUGUUUCUUGAUAAGAUGCGUUAUGGUAAGUUGCAUGAUCUAUUAGACUAUAAAACAUAGCCAUAUCCAAACUUCUAUUACCAUGUUAGUGUACAACAUCUUCACUGAAAUAUUACAGGAUGCUCUUUCUGCCUUUGACGAGGAUGUUGAUGUUGAUGUCCUGGACCAUCCGGUCCUCAACCUUUUCUAUUACAUGGUACAAUUUGCAUAUUUCUGUCAUAUGAUUCGUGUAAUAUAGCAUCUGUAACCUCUCAGUCAAGUAAUUAAAAAUGCGCUUACACUUGGUUCUGUUUACGAGUUUGUCAAUAGCUACUAGAAAUGGAGUAUCCAAAGCAGCAGCUGGAUACGCCCACUAGAGCACUCAAUGGCCCCUGCUGAUUAUAUGUUGCCUAUGGGUUUUUUUUCAGAUGGUGGAAAUUGUGCCAUCUGCAAUAGUGCUUUUUAUCCUACGGAAGUUACCUCCAAGACGUGUAUCGGAUCAGUAUCAAUCUAUCCGCUAAAGCCCUUUGAUUUUCUGAUAACCUGGAAUCUGCAAUAAGAGAGAACGUAUAUAGAGUGAAUAAUUUGAAAUGACUGCAAAGCUUUUGAUUAUCUGCCCUUCAACACAGCACAUCUGCGGAACUUUUCAUCUGUACUUUCCCACAUACAUUGCAACUCAGCAAAAUCAAUUGAGGCCGAAUCCACCUCGCACUUUUAUUCUGGUUGGAGAGUCUAAUUGCCAGCGUAGUCAUACUCCUCCUUGUUGGAUCCCUUUCUUUAAUCUUUUCACAAAUUGAAGAGUCACUCCUAAAAGCUUUUCUGAUACUAGCGUUUUAAAUUAAGGUCUUUUGCACCUUUUUUUUUAACAUUUCUAUUCAGCAUUGAUGGAGGCCAUUGGCUGCUUGCUUUGGUCUUUAGAUUCUCUGUUUCUCAUUUUUUACCCAGAGACAAAAAAGAGGAGGGGGAAAGGGACAGUUAAUGCAUGGUUCUAUCCAGGUUCUGGCCACAUGCUCUACGGGAUGCGUAUUUGUGUAGGUCAAGCCCCAUUUGCUUUGAAAAUAUUGUGGGAAGAAAGAUAUAAUUUGAAGAGGGCACUAAAUUUUCGUUAACAGUAGAAGGAUGCAGAUGGAAGUAAACUUGGAAGCUGGAGGAAGAGGUAUGGCAGAUGUACUAGGAUUAAUAUACGUAUGGUUCUAUGAAUCUCGAACAUGAUUGGCUCCUGCAUGGAUAGGAAGGAGCCUCGCCGCAGCAGCGGUAGAAAAUAAAUAGGAACGACAGAAAGUAGUCGCUAUUAUGAAUAGAAUAGGAAAAGACUUCUUGAUUAACCAGGAGUCUUGGACACUUGAGAAUUUCACUUUGUUCAUCCGAAAGCACCUAUGCAUAAGAAGCUAGAUUGAACUUAUUUUAUUCUAUUUUUUGCGUUAACAAACUCACCAGUGACCAUCAAAAUGGAGGGUGACAGAGUUAAAUUUGUUGCCCUAAUGUUGGUUUGCAUGCCUAGUGCUACCCAUGCAUGGGGCUGGCCUUGGCCCUGGUCUCCUUGGUGGCAGCCGCCAUCACCAACACCUCCUCGAUCCUCGCCACCGCAAACCCCAGCUCCUCCUCCUCCAAGGCAUCCACAACCGCCACUCGCACCUCCUCCAAAAUCACUACCACCUUCUCGUCCUCCAAGACAACCACCACCGACUCCCAGAGCUUCCCAGGAUCCCGCUGACUGCCAGGAUGCAUUGACAUACGUGGAUGGUUGCAUAAGAGAUCUCAUAACUUUCUUUUUCGAGAAAGAUGGUUCUUCAGUCGGGCAAAAUUGUUGCGACGCCAUCUCCGAGCUUUCAGAUGAUUGCUUUUCCGAAGCGUUCGCGGGCUUCAGUGACCCCAAGUUCAUUAAGAGAGUUAGGGACUAUUGUGCUAGCCAAUUUCACGUCUGACUCUCGAUUCAUUAUGCUUCUUGUUUACUUAUUUUCCUAUGACAUUAAUUUCGCAUCUCUAUUGUCAUGCAUGAUUUAGUUAAAACUAAUCAUGCUCUCUCUUCAAUGCUUUAUGGUCCAGCAAACAUGAACCAUCAGUUUUAAUUUCUUGCGAUUUGUAUUAAGCCAAUUUUGCAUUCUGAAAUCUUGGAUUUCUAUGAUAUACUGAGUGUUUUGAGUUUCUAAGGAGAACUUUCGGUUCUCUGAUGCGAGAUGCCAAUGUGGGGUUAAGCAAAAGAAAUAUUUGAUACAGUAUAUAUUUAACAAAUAAACCGCUAGAUUCCAGACCAGAGUGUAGUGGCGCAGUUCUAAAUCACAAAGACAAAACAACACAUAAUCACACGAAAGCUGAGGUAAUACAAUAAAGUGGGAACUAUAUGUUCCAGAGCAUCUGGAGACAAAACGCAAUUCAGUGCGCUGAAUCGACCCUUAGUUUUUGUCAAAUGUGAUUUCUCAAAAUGAUUAUUUUUAUGAUUCAGCAAAGUUGGCUUAAACUGGCAAUCUUUUUUUUUUUUUUUUUUUUUUUACGCCUUAAACAGGCAGUCAAUUUAUUAUUAUUUUUUUUUUUACACGCCUUAAACAGGCAGUUGUAGUACUACUACAUGAGCAAUUAUAGUACAACUACAGAACGGUAGAUUAGUAUAUUUAGCUUUAGUGUCUGUUUGAUAACAUAAAAAAGUGCUGAAACUGAAUUCAUUCAGACAUUCAGAUGUUUUGGGUGUUUGAUAAAUAAAAAUUUUUCUGCUGAACUUAUUAAGUGGUGCUGAAUUUGUAUGUAUUUUUUUCAGCACAAGAAUCGUAACUGAAUGCUUAAUUUGAUAAGAAUCAAGAGAUUUACUUCAAUUACUUUAUUUUAUCUACCAAAUCUAUCCUUGUUUGUUAAUUACAUUCAAAAUCCUUAUCUAAUUAAACAACCUAAUAUUUUCUAUCCAAAAUCCUUAUCUAAUUAAACAACAUGCCAUUCUCUGUUUAAUGGCUUUCUACUUCUAUUUUUUCCCUAUUUAAUGACUUUUUUACAAUUUCUCCAUGCUCCUCACAUCUGUCUACUCCUUAUUUUUUUUCCAUCUUUCUACUCUUUCAUAAUUUUGUCAUUUUUUUCCUCCCAAUUUUUUUUAUUGCUACCGUACUCACCGAUCUCAAAUUCAUUAUUUCCAAGGUAAGUGACAUUGAUUAUUUGUUGUUUUGCUUCAACAUUUUUCCAUUGAAGUAAUUAAAUUUCUAAAUAAUUUGGUAUGAAUUUAAAACUUGUUUAUUGCAGCUUCCUUUUGCUUAUAUUUGGACUUUUCUUAUCAAAUUCUGAUUUAAAAAAAUAUUUGCACCGAUAUUUGGACUUUUUCAUAAUAUAUUUAUUCUUUUAUAUUACUUUGAUUUAAAAAUAAAUAUUGUCAUUUUCAUACCUAACAAUUUUAAGCUAAUUAAAUCAUAGGUUCCAUUUCCUUUUUGGAUUAAAAGAUAGAAGGGCAAAAUUGUACAAUUUAGCUUAUUAAGCAUUAAGUUAUAAAUGUUUAUCAAACAGUAUAAAUAUGUUCAGCAUUAAGAUUCAGAUAUUCAUAUAUCUUUUUUCAGUGCUUAAUAUUCAGCAAAUUAAUUGUUUCAGUAUUCAGCAUUCAGAAUUCAGAAUUCAGAUUCAGUUUUAUCAAACGGAGCCUUAGACUCCAACAAAUCUGCAGCAUUGCUCUCAUAUAGCAAAGAUGCCACAAAAUGUCUCUGCAUAAUACUGGUAAUGUUUUGUGACUAAUACUACAAAAAAGAAUGUUUUACGUAGAAUACAUUUUCCAAAUAAGGGUAAAUGGCAUUGAUGAAGUUGCACACUACCGUGUUCCUUCUCCUUUUCCUACAACGUUCUUAGCAGUUCAUGGCCAAGAUUUGAUAAAAAAAAAAAAAAAAGUACUAUGAUUUAGAUUUCAUCUUGUACCUUAUUUUUUAUAUCGUGAGAUUCACAAAAUUUUUGUUCUAUAGUUACACGUUAUUGAAAGUGAUUUAGGUUGUGUACAGAUAGAAUUACGCCAUGUGCAUGUUGCAUAAAACAGCCCGAACGUUUUCUUGGUAACCGUUCGGCCCCUUGAAUAGGUUCUGUGCUUGAACCUGAAGUCAAUCGGUGCAAGGCUCUAUUUGAAGAGUACUGGGAACGAAGUCAAAAGAGGGCAAGGGCCGACCUUAGGAGCUAGGAAGAAAGGAGAAAAGAGACCUUCUUUGGAUCUGGAAAUGGGCAAGCCCCGCCUCUGAAGGCCAACAAUUAGCAUCCAGCAGUCAAAACAAGAUAAACAAUUCUUUCUUUCUUUCUUUCUUUCUUAGUAAAGCAGAAUACGUGCUGUAGAUUGCACGUAUCAAGGUUAAAUUGUUGAAACCCAACAAAAAACAAUUGUUGAAACCCCCCCCCCUCCCCCCCCCCCAAAAAAAACCAAAAAAAAAAACCAAAAAAACAAAAAAACCAAAAAAAAAAGUCAAAGGAUUACUUUACCACUUUAGCAGUUCUUGCUCUCCGGCAUGUACAAUGAUUCGUAACAUUUUUUGUUUUGAAAGUAGAAACAAUUCAUGCAUCACAAUACAAGAAUAACAGGACUAAACCACCUUUCACAAAUAGGGACUCAACUUAUUUUUCCUGAAAGAACAAAAAACAACUAAAAGGGUCAAGUGCCAAACCUGAUGCCUGCGUGCCUGUAUGCCAAAGAUGCAAAGCUAAAGUCAACAAAAUUAACCUUGUAAGCGUAGCUCUAGCUCAACAGCCCUACGGAAAAUCCUUUGUUGCGUCUUUCACUCUUUCCAGUCUUCUCAGACCAUUGGGACUCUCUCCUCCUAAUCUCACUUGAUACUAUCAACAGCUAGAGUUAAAACCCCCUAAAACCCAUCAAUUAAAUAAAGGGAGACGGAAUUUGAUUUUGAAUUGAAGAGUAAAAAAGAAAAAUAAUAGAGGAGUUUUGGUAUCUUGUAGAUGGUCUCCAAGUAAUGGGUGCCACGGGUUCCAAGCUCGAGAAGGCCCUCGGAGACCAGUUUCCUGAAGGAGAACGCUAUUUUGGCCUUGAAAAUUUUGGGAAUACUUGCUAUUGCAACAGUGUCUUGCAGGUUUUUAUUUCUUACAUAAAAAUUCUGUCUUUUUUCUUUCUCUGGAAUUUUGGUUUCUUCGAGUUUUGAGCACUUAUUUCGUUCUUGUUGUUGGUCAAAGUUUCUAUUUUUGGUUUGAACUUUGAUUCAUUUGCGAUGAUGGGCUUGGUUUUUCUUGACUUUCCAGUGGCGUAUCAAGAUUUUAUAUUUGGAUUGAUUUUUUUUUAAUCAUUAAUGGUGUUUAUUUUUCUGCUUUUUUUUGGUUUUUUUUUUGGGGGGGGGGGGUUGCUGGUGAUUGGAUAUGCAGGCGUUAUACUUCUGUGUACCAUUUAGGGAACAACUUUUAGAGUAUUAUGCAAAUGGGAAAACUCUAGGGGAAGCAGAAGAAAAUCUCUUGACUUGUUUGGCAGAAUUGUUCUCGCAGGUAUGGUGUAUUUGCUUGAAAAUUGAUUAAAUCUACUUUCAAAUUGGUGUUUGUUUCCGCUCAUACUUGUACGCAUUCUUUUCUGCUAUGCUUUCCGAUAUAUAUGUAUAUAUAUAUAUAUAUAUAUAUAUAUUGCGGUCCUCAAACAUUGCUGUGAUUUGACCUUUUGUUAUGUCCUACAAUCAUAAGUUCAAUGGCUGUGAUGAGUUAUCCUUUGCAAUUUGUCUGUGUUGUACAAGAAUAGCUAACAGUAACUUCCUUCAGAAAGCUGCUGUCUUUGCAUGUACGAGGAGUAAAAGUAUGUCCUUUGUGUUGAACACAAAGAUGUAUAGCUUCAUGAACAUGAGACUACAUGGUUCGAUUUUUUUGUGAACGUUUUUGGAUCUAUUUUCUUGUACAAAACACUUUGUUUGGUUGUGAAUAUUCGUAGCACUCUCUUGUGAAGAUUGGCCCCAGUAAGUCCUAGAUAAACUGAUUGUUAGUACUUACACCUUCCCCAAGAUCACAUUUAAUUUUUAUUGCAUCUUUUCUGCUUCUUGAUACUUCAACUGGUUGUCGAUUACUGUGCCCAUAAUCCCUAAUUUAAUUGCUCUAUUUCAUGAUUUGGAUGAUAAUUUAGGAGUUUUGUGUGCAUACUCUUUCGAGUCCACAGUAUUGACUAGAAAGGUACAUGUCAUGUCAGUCUUGCUGCUUAUGGUGAACAUUUAAUUUGCCAACUAAAUGUUCCUUAUCAAAGAGGAAACUUCACAAUCAGAAGAUAUUUUUUUAACUGAAUCUGAUUUGGUUAGACACUUGGUGGAAUCUUUCUUGUAUUACUGUUACUUAAUUGAAGGGUUGGUGUAAGUGGAAAAGCUAUUCUAUAACGUCCUAACUUCAAAAGGCAACCAAGUUUUUGCUUGCCGAGCAAAGUAAUAGCCCAGUUAAAUUAAGAGAGAACUAGAUAAGGAGAUGCCACACAUUGGACAUGCAUGCAUUGAAGGAUGUAUUGGAGGUCAAACUGGGAGAUCUGUCAGUUCUACAAUAUAUUGCACAACACUCCAUAAGUGAUGUUUAUUUUAGAUAACUCUGUUGUGCUUUAUUUAAAUACAUAGUGAUAAUAUUGAUAUUUCGAGUAGAAAUUGCAACUUUAGGUUUUAGGCUCUAAUGAAUAUCUGAACUUUUACCCCCAGAUAAGUUCACAAAAGAAGAAAACAGGGGUCAUUGCACCAAAGCGUUUUGUUCAGAGAGUGAGAAAACAAAAUGAACUUUUCCGUGGCUACAUGCAUCAGGUAUAUCUUAUGAUCUAAUUUUUUUGUGUUUACAUUACAUUGUUAUGCAAGUAUUCAAAAAACAAAAAAAGAAAAAAAAAAAAAGAUAUGCAAGUAUUCAACCAGUCUUCACUUUUUUUUGUUUUUGGUUGGGGGGGGGGGGGAAGGGUUUAAAAUUAACAAGUGAAAUCGUAGUUGUUGUCUAUCUAUGCAUAAAUGUGUUUUUUCCUGAAUUUCUUAAAAGGUUAUUGAAACAUUGGCAAAAUGCUAUGCUCAUCGAGCCACAGCUCAUAUCAAUAUGCCUGAUCUUUCUUGAUUUUAAGAACCUUUGGUAGCAAUACAUGCUGUACAAGCUAAUUAGAUUGAGUCUAUGGUAAGCCAUACAUGUUUCAGAAGCUAAUAAUAUGAACUUUGAUAAGGUUGAGAUAAUCUGACAUUGGGAUAGGAAGCUGAAGUAUGCUGAACUGUAUUGAGCUAGUCAUUCUGCACUCAAUUAUUUUUAUUUUCAUGUAUACAAUUGCGUCUCCUUCCUUUGUGUGGCUUUGUUUCUUAUGAUAUAUGGAGAAUGUUAUAUAUUAGAUAUCCUUCUACGUAUCAUGUACUUUUGUAGGAUGCCCAUGAAUUUUUGAACUUCUUGCUCAAUGAACUUGUUGAUAUACUGGAGAAAGAGUCGCAAGCAGCAAAAUGUCCACCAUCUCAGGAAAGGAUUGCUAAUGGGCAGAAUAAUGCUCAGUCAAAUGGUGUCAAGGAGCCACUGGUUACCUGGGUACACAAGAAUUUUCAGGUAAUGCUCUUUUAUGUUCCUCUGAUGCUUCCCCUAGUUUCAAUACCAUCGUUGAUAGGAAGAGCAUGUGUGAUCCCUGAGGACAUUUGUGCAUGAUUUCCAUUUGUUCUAUUUGUCCGCUGAUACUAGAUGGAAAAAAUAUGAGGUUUAAUUUUUAAGUCACUGGGGUGUGUGUUUAUCUAAAAAUUCAGCGUUUAGUCCUUCAAAGGGGAGAUAUCUUUGUACUUUUCCUUUUUCCUCUGCACUGAUGGCUCGCACAUUGUUUGUUAUUUGUUCUUGUUCAGGGAAUACUUACCAAUGAGACAAGGUGUCUAAGGUGUGAGACGGUUACAGCAAGGGAUGAGACAUUCUUUGACUUGAGCCUUGAUAUUGAACAGAAUAGUUCUAUCACUAGCUGUCUCAAAAACUUCAGUUCCACAGAAACCUUGAAUGCGGAGGAUAAGUUUUUCUGUGACAAGUGCAGUAGGUAGGUCUCUCUGCUUGCUUUCUUUCAUUAAAAGAAUCCAUGCAAUACGCAAUAAUGUGUUCCAUUCUGCAAUUUAGCCUGCAAGAGGCUCAAAAGAGGAUGAAGAUUAAAAAGCCACCUCAAAUUCUAGUCAUCCAUCUGAAGCGUUUCAAAUACAUGGAACAACUUGGUCGAUACAAGAAGUUGUCCUAUCGCGUAGUGUUCCCUCUAGAGCUGAAACUGAGCAACACUGUGGAAAACGCCGAUUCUGAAUACUCUUUGUUUGCUGUUGUCGUUCAUGUGGGGAGUGGGCCCAACCAUGGGCAUUAUGUUAGUCUUGUAAAAAGCCACAACCACUGGUUGUUUUUUGAUGAUGAAAAUGUGGAGAUGAUUGAUGAGUCGGCUGUUCAGACUUUCUUUGGAUCUGCUCAGGAGUACUCAAGCAAUACGGAUCAUGGAUACAUCCUCUUCUAUGAGUGCCUUUCUUCAGAUGAGAAGAGCUGAUGAAAGGGCAUCUAAUCAAGUGACUAUAUACUUUUGCCGUUUUAUAGCAAAGUGUUUUCUGUCCUCUACUCAUUUGAUCUCCUUUUGUUACCCAUCACGCUCAAUCGGCUCAGAGACUAGAUGCUUGUAGAGUGGAUGUUCGAUGUAUACCGGACAACUAUUUGUCGCAAUAAAAACAAGUGCAAAUCUUGAUACAGGAAUACUCUCUGUCUUCAGAUGUUUGCUGGUGAUUAGGUGACUGAAACUUUUACAUAUCCCACACCUUAAAAACUGAGAGUUUCUCAUUUGUGUCAGAUUCUUGCGGGAUUUCAUUUAGCCACAGGCUUAAUCAUGCAUUUCCUUUUAUGGGUAUAGUCUUGCAUAUAUAGUAGUAUUUCAUAAAAUGAGAGUCUCUAGGCUAGAAUUUUGCUAAUAAGUCUGGUUUUUUCUCCUAUUCUUCUACACCUUUUUUCUUCUCUCCUUUUAUGACAGCAUGUUUGCUAAUGGUGAUUGCAGGGAUACUGUUGGAAACCCACCCAACUCCAUUACACACACGUUAUUUGCUGAUCUAGCUUCUGUACAUUUUGAUACAAAUGCAUAAAUGGGGCUUAUGCCCCUUAAAUUGUGAACAGCACCCCACUUAAAGGAAAAUGGAAAAAGACAAAAAAAAAGAUGGAUUCUCGGUUGCAUCUUCCCAUCUGUAUAAAGGCAUGUACCGCCAGGAAGAAUUUGGCUCCGGUAUUUGUUUAGUCAUUCUCAAAGUAUGCAUCUUGCUGAGGGCUGAGGAAACCUAUAUAUAUAUAUAUAUAUGGUCUAUCAUUGAAUGAAAACGUAGUCGGAAAGCACUAAAAGUCGUGACAGGUAAGCGUUAAUGUAAACAAGAGGGACUAUAGCCGACUUUAAUUUUCCAAAUUAGUUCUCCUUUUUACAUGGUUUGAUCCUAGAGCCACCGGGAAAAGAAUUGAAAUGAGGCAUCUUGCACCUUUAAGCACAUGCUUUCCAGGUUAAAAUUCCAACUCCAAUUUGAAAGGUUACGCAUGAAGUAUAAAGUGACGUAAAACUAUAAGUAAUGUACAUGAUUCGUCUAAUAUUUUCAUUGUUAUUGUGGAUACCCAAAAGAAUCAACGAUUGACAACAUAACAUACAGAUUUCUUGAUGGUUCUCUAAACGCUGCUUUUUUUUUGGGGACAACUACCAUACGCAUUUGCUCCUGUAGUGAAAUCUCACAUCAAUAAUGUGAAGGGAUUCUUGCUACUACUUUAAGCAACGAGUAACACUACUCUGCGUGGUGCCACGCGUCCUACAACAUUGCGCAAGUUCCCAUGGAAUUGGAUCAUUACAUGCACAACAACAACAAAGAUGUGCCUUUGCGAGAUUUGGAAACAUCAGAAACCAAAGCUUGCUAAAUGAUUUCACUCAGUCUCCAAAUAUGCAUAGGAUUUGGUACGUAGCUCCUCUCUAUGUAUAAAGGUACUCUUUCCCCAGUUUUCUUCACGUAGUACUUCUUUUCAUCACAGCAGCAGCAGCAGAAGAAGACCAAUCCAUCGAACCAAAGUCUCUCAAGUGUUUUACAAUGUCGGUGUUACAUCCAUCCGUGGAAGUGGAAGUUAUCUGCGCCGACUACUUUGGCGACGAACUUGUGUUGCCUCUGCCCAAGCUUAAUAACAAGAUGGAUAGCUACAAAAGCAGCGGGAAGAAUACUGCAGCAAGGGUGGCUGGAAAACCUGCUGCCACCGAGGUCCAGAAUAAGGGUACUGACCAUCACCACCACCCCAGUAGCCACAAGAAAUCAUUCCUGGGAUUCUCUCCGGCUUUUGAUGGCUUGCAUUGUUUCGAGACGCUGAAUUGGAAUUGAUGAGGUUCACCAUCCUUAAAAGAAACCACAAACGUAGCCUUCUCCCUUCCAUGUCAAAAGGAGGUAGUAGUCACACUGUAGUGGCUUUUCGUAAUAUCCUAGUAGCUUGUUUCCAGAUUUCUUCUCGUUUGUAUAUACCGAUGCUUUCAUCCAUGUUUGUGACUUCAAGUCCUCUACUUUUAUUAUCUCUAACAUCCUAAUCCCACCCACCUCUUCUUACAUAAAACCAAGGGAAAGAUGAAAGAAACUUGAUUUGAAUUUUUAUUUUUUUUUCGAAAGCGUCUUUUGCCUUAAAACCACCGACUAGCUAAAAAUCUUAAAGAGGUAUAGAAAUCCUAUGCAUGUAAUCAGUCAGUCAGUCAGUGACCACACCACUGGGCAUUAGGACUCUCGAAAUAACCAGAUCCACCAUUCAUGAUUUUAAGUACAAUCCAUCGUUUUCUGUUGGUUUUUUGGGACAUAAACUAAGAAACAACACCUUAGUGUUGCAAAAAAAGCUUAUAAGAGACUUGUAUUGAAGAUGGAAGAUGAGCUUAUAUUCUACAUUCAUCAACUCACUAUUUAUAGUGAUUAUAUGAAACAAACUAGCAAAAUAUUCAACUAAUAAUUAUCCUAAAAAUCUCAACAAAAUAUAAUCUUCUACUACUAGCAAAUCUUAUCUAAAAUAUUUGUUAACAAACCAACAUGAUCUUUGGUUAACAAAUAUCCUUAUUUUUUAAUAACUAAAUUAUUUUGAUAUCAAACAAAAUCUAGCAAAAUAUGUAGAAAAAGUUGCAUAUUCCAACAUUUUCCCUAAUUUACUUUUGUACCGUGCGUACCUUUAGCGUUCAUACCACCUGAGAAUUGUGUUAGAAUCGAUCACACCCCAAAAUCCUCGAAACUCCAUAAUACAACACGGUAUUAAACUAACCAACCAACAAACUAAUUCCAAAAUCUCAUUAUUAUCCUUCAUAAAUAUUUCUUCGUUUUCAUAACUCUUAACAACGCACUUGAGACUAGAAUUGCAGAAUGAUUUUUAACUUAAUCCUCAAACCAUGAAAAAUUACAGUCGAUGGUCUACGUGAAAGCUAUAAAAGAAAAAAAAAAAAGAGAGAGCAAAAAGUAGCAGUUGAUUUUAUACACUACAUAUUUACAUACAUUGAACCAUUGCACUAGCGUUCCAUCAAUGAACCGAGCGCAGUCAAUAAAUACAGCGUCAAUAAUAGGCACAAUUUGUGUUCGAGGCUCAUUCAAAUGCCAUGGACAUGAAAGUAUCGUGAUCCGACAAUUUUUCAACAUCAAAUAGUUCCUCAUCAGCGUAGCUCACAUCUUCAGAACCACUAAGUGUCGGGUUGGAAG
This 53755-nucleotide long non-coding RNA is filed under the name Coffea arabica (coffee). Its description in RNAcentral is "long non-coding RNA (CARA_LNC001661)". Lineage: Eukaryota; Viridiplantae; Streptophyta; Magnoliopsida; Gentianales; Rubiaceae. The record is from RNAcentral.